GGUGGCAUUGUCGAGUCAUGGCUUCGUAGAGCUGGUUGGCUUUAGUUUUCUAGGUGUGGCGCAGAGUCGCGAGUUGCUGGGUAUCUUAGAUUUCCAUGGUGGGCGUGUGCUGGCUGAUGGAUGUGGCAGGCUGUGUAUUUUUAUGGAUGAGUUCUCGCCGUUGUCUUUAUGGAGUCCUUGUAUGUUUAUAUUUCCAAUUAAAGGCUAUAUGUGACAACAUGAUGAUGGAUGCGGUCAGCCAUGUAUUUUAAUGGUGACCGUGUCCGUAUGCAUUCCUUUGCAUGUGUAUGUGUUUACGUGCUCUUGGCUUACCGAGUUAGGCACGUGUCCUUCCAAGUUCUGAUUAGGCAUUGUAUGUGACAAUUGUUGACACGUAACUUCUACUUUUCUCAAUCCUUGUGUUGUGUUUUUUUCCGAAAGCAUUGUUUCUGAACCGGUACGCAUAAAGACGUGACAGUUCAAUUUGCUGACAGGUACAUAUUUACAUGUUACGUAAUUUUUUUAAAUCUGAGCCAUUGUUAUUCUGAUCAAACAGUGGUAAUAAUAUAAGUCUAUGUGGAGUAACGUGGUGUCUUAUUUGUCUUCUAUUUUAAUUAUAUAAUAGAUAGAUAGAUAGAUGGAAAACUCAAAACGGUGCCCGGGCUCAUCUGCUCCCUCUCAGUAAAAAAUUCAAAAAAAAUACUAGACCAAUUCAAAAAAUUCCAAAUUUUUUUGUGGUGGUAGAUAAUUUGACGCGUGAGGUGCGCCCCAAAAUUCAAUUCAUUUGGACAUCUGAGCAUCUCUCGGCAAAAAAGACAAAUAGGGUCAAAACAGUGCGUGAACAGUAUACAUUUUUACAGACCCUGAUUUUGUCUUUUUUGCCGAGAGCUGCUCAGAUGCUCAAAUGAGUUAAAUUUUGGGGCCCACCUCACGCGUCAAAUUAUCUACCACCAUAAAAAAAUGGAAUUUUUUGAAUUUUUCUAGUAUUUUUUUUUGAAUUUUUUUAAGCGUGGGUGCAGAUGAGCCCGGGUGCAGAUUAGCCGCACUCAUAGAUAGAUUUAUCUCACUGAUAAAUUACAGUACGUACUAUACUAGUACUUCCUCCGUUCCUAAAUAUAAGUCUUUGUAGAGAUUUCACCAUGAACCACAUGUGAAUGUAUAUAGAUGCAUUUUAAGUGUAGAUUCAUUCAUUUUGUUCCGUAUGUAGUUCACCUAGUGGAAUCUCUACAAAGACUUACCUACUAGUAAUAGUUAGCCCCCACUACUAGGAAUUCAGUAUCCUCUCCUUGAGCCACAUCAUCAAAAUUAAUGUAGCUGUUAGAUGAACUAAAUCAGUCCAUAAUAGCCGUCUGAUCUAGACGUUGAGAGGCUCCGCACUAAGCCACAUGCAAGCAUGCAGAAAUACCGUGGCAUGCAUGUGAGUGGGUUUUAAAUCACUCUUUACAUGUCUGCACGCAAGCAUGCACCGGUAGCAUGCAUGUAAGUGAACUUUUAAGUCCCAUUAACAUGUCAAAAAGAAAAAUAUAAUCCCAUUAUGCAGUAGGAGUUGGCUGAUCUUUUUUCCUUACGUGGGAUGAUCUACAUGAUGAUGGGAGUUUUUUUUAGUUUGGCUACCACAUUUUUCAUGUGGUUAUAGAGUUUUUUUAGUUCUAUGAAAUCGAUAAUUUUACGCAGAGAGAUAUACGGCUGUUCCGCGGCAACGCACGGGGACUCAUCUAGUAGUAUUUAGGAAUGGAGGGAGUACUAUGUAAAGAGUUAGGUGUCGCACGGUGCCCAGAAAAUAUGGUGAUAGUGUGAGGUGGGCCAUGUAAUCACCGAGCCUAUGUGUUUUCACUGCUAUUGCAUUCCUCCGCUGUAAGAAUGGAGAAAAUUGCAAUCUAGUAGUACCUCCUUUUGCCGAAAGCAUGGGACAUCCAGCAGUCCUACCACCUCAGUAAUAAAGAUCAAUGAGCCGUCAAAUCACAUAGACCCAGCAGUAAGUUGGACGGAUGAAGCAACCAUCACUCUUGCGCCAGUGAGAGGUCGUGUCCGCUCUUCCCUGGCAUGAAUGCGGCACCAAUUCUUUGGAGCAGCGCUGACCGUUUCGGGCGGGAAGCGCGUGCGGGCGAUGGAGGGGCUUUGGGUAGGCUAGGCUAGUCAGGAGCGGGCGUGGCAGCUGUCCUCCUGUCCCUACCGGACACGCCCGGAAACGAGAGGAUGCACCGACUCUCGCGACUAAAAUCGUACACUACACACCAUCUCUCUAUAAGAGUAGGUCAAUCUGUCGCUCUCUCUAACACACACAUGAUGUUACACACACACACACACACACACACACACGCACGCGCGCGCACACACACCUUGGUCCCGCUGCACCUUCUAACGUGACUUAUUACACCUAGACGGAGGGAGUAGUAAGUACGAGAUACGGUGGCACACUGACUUAGGUCGAAUACAAGUGCCCAAAAUCGUGUGCAUGUUAUAAUAAGGAUCCACUUAAAAUAGUACGUGAGCGAACAGAGGGAUCAAUUGGACAGUGUUCCUGAGCAGUAGCGAGAUGCGUGAGGUAAGAUACACCGCUGGCGCUUUUAUUUUUUCUUAUUAAUUUGUUUGUUUCAACCUCUGACUGGUGGGACCCAACGUACUACGUGGAGAGAGGUAAGGUGACUAAGGUUGCAUUAUUUCUGCACCACUGUGGAUAGUCUUACCACCAAAGCCACAUGACACGAUUAUAAUUUAAAUCCCAAUGACUCCCACACACAAAAGAAACAUGGCAUGCUUGCCACACGACUGCAAGAAUGUAUAAAAGGUUAUUUUCCUCUCGUUGAACAUAACGGGAGGGUUGUGUUGCUGGUUAGCCUGUUCGCUCAUCAAACUUGAGGUCUCGGGUUCCACUAAAAAAACUUGAGGUCUCGGGUUCGAUAACUAUACUUGAGCAUAAUUUGUGCCAGGAGGAUUCUUUGACUGGUCAAAAUGGAUGGAUACAGAGCUGUACAAUCUCGUAAUGACCGUAUAAUCACCUCAUCACGUACUCUAUAAGCUGCAGCCUCGGCGCUUGUUUUUUAGGGUUUGCAUGCUUCACACUCUCUCUCCAGUAUAUAUAUAUAUAUAUAUACACACACGCUGGAGCCUCAGCGCUUGUAGUUGCUCUCUUCACACUCUCUCACCCUCUCCAGAUCUAAAUAAGACUUCGUUGGCCUCUCUCUCCCCUCACUGCUGCUCAAAGAGCCGGCAGGAUCCGUUCGCCAGGAAGGGAAGGAGGCUUAACGCUGUCGCCGUCGGCGAGGGAGGGAAUCCACUACCAGCGCAGCUAUUCACAUUCACCCAGCGGCGGUGCAGGAGGGCCUCCGACCCCUUCUUCUUCGCCGCCGUCCCGUCGCCCACCGAACCAUGCCCCAAGAACCUUAAGGUAUAGUUUACUUAUUCCACAUGCAUUGCUCUAGCUGCAUGUAUACCAUGAAUCUAGGACGUGGUUCAAAGAGGAAAGGAGUGGGGGAAAGUAGUGGAGAAAGUUGUAUCGCAUAAAUCUAGGACGUGGUUCAAAGAGGAAAGGAAGGGGCAAAAGUACUAGUACAAACUGGCUAUCCAGCACCUAUGUUGGUCAAAAAGAGAAAACAAUGACAAACGCAGUACACACAUCUAUAACAAACUGAUGUUUUGUUUUGGGGGACAAGGCUGUAGAGUUUGAGGAGGACUAGAUUUGCUGCGCUCACAUAGGGAAAGGUGUCUAAAGAUAACAAAACUGGGACCAACACAAAUAUCCUCCUUGGUUGUUUGUUCUUUGUUGCAACAGACUGUGCAUGACCACAGUACAUCGGUAGAUGCGCAUGGUGCUGGUGCAUCCACUGACCCAUGCAACUCUUUAGCUUUUGUUAAUCUAAGUCCCUGUUUGGUUAAAAACUCCCUAGUCCCUACCUGCUUGGUUCCAGGGACUAAACAUGGACUAGAGGUUAUUAAAUGACAUGCUAAAAGACCAUGUUACCCCUAGUAAUGAACUAAUAGAGACAAGGUGCGAUGCAUGGCAGGGGCAACUAUUGGAAAAAGUCCCAAAAAGACUCCCUCGGGGUAGUCUUUCUUUAGUCACAAAAAUGCCCACUUUUAGUCCCUAAAAGUCCCUCCUGUUUGGUUUAGAUGGACUGACACGGAGUUUUUUCAGUCCCUACACCAAAAUUUCCCUGUAAACAAACACCCUCUAAUAAUGCCGCUGGAAAAUUGAUGCAAUGCCAUAUUUAAAAGCAAAUUACAUGUUUAACGAAUUUUAUUGUUAAUAUAAUCUCUAUGUUAAUAUUAAUCAAUGCCACCGUUUGAGAAAUGCUACUGUCUUGCUUUCUUUCCCAUCUAGAUAAGGUAGAUGCUUCUUUUUGUUGGCUUCUGUAUCAUCCACCGUUAUUAACCACUAGUUGUUUUCUUUGCACCUUUGUGUAAACAAGGUUAUCUACUUGACCUCGUUGCCAUUGUGACCUUUUUGUUGCACUGCACAAAACACAUUUGUUUUAAGAGUGUUUUGUGCAGUUCAACCAAAAUGUCACACCGACAAUGUUGCUUGAUUGCUUGAUCUUAGUGGAACUGCACAAGAGGAGAUCUUACUUCCUAUCCGUGUUGGCAAAUUUGGUUUAGAUCUUCUUCUUGUGAGUAGUUUGAAUUCCGCAUCAUGAGAGGUCAGUACUAGCCUUAUUCCACAUGAUUCUGCAGUGUGCUUUCAUAUGUUGUGAUACUUGUAUGGUAAUGUUACUUGAUUUUAGUGAACUGCACAAAUGGAGACAAGACUUCCAAUCUGUAUGUGCACCAUAAUAUCCCAUUGAGGUAAGAUAAGGAUAUUUCACAACUGUUGGCCUGUAUUUUGCCACUUCCAUCAGAAAAUUAAUGUCAUUUUUUAGUGCUAUACUUGUGCUCCCUAAUUGACAUGCCAAAUCUUACAUUGAAGGCGAAGCUUGUCUGUUAUUGAACCAAGUGAUGAAGGGGAAGAACAAGCGGAAAAACAAAAAUCAACUCCCGGUGCUGUAAUGAAGCACUGAAACUGUGAUGACACAGGUAAUGAUAUAGUUUUGCAUCUUAAUUUAUUGCUAUGUCUGGAACGAGCAAUUGUUUUGCCACUGAUUUAAUGACACUCUUAAUGUAAUACAUAAUUAUCUCUACUUGUGCAAAUAGGGAUCUUCUUUCAAUAUGACAUAUAUUUUAGUGGAACUGCACAAGAAGAUGUUGGAAACAUUAAACUAAUUGAGGAGUAUAUAGUAAGCAUGGCAACCACAGUAGAUAGCAACAGAUGGUUCCGGAGAAGUGCUUCAUCUGUAUGCUCUACACAAUAAUCCUCCUGACAAAGGUUGGUACUCGUCCACUGAUUUCAUCCAGAUGAUUGAGCUUUGUCAUCUCUAUUGGUGUUGUGCUACUGUUUAGAUACUGUCAUGAAAAAGUGGUAUUGUCCUUGAGAAGUGCUUCAUCUGUGCUGUUUUAAAUAUUUCCUUUCCUUUUUUUCGAGCAAAUAGGGAUGCUAGCAUUUAGUAGUCCUCUUGUCUCUGCACAACAGGACCAUCUUCCUCUAAAGAAGAAUAUGGAGUACGUGAAGUGACUAGUUCCGAUUAUGCCAGGAUGAAGAAGCCCUGUCUAUCUUCUCACCAGAAGGAGCAGUUGAAGGAUGGUUACAUUACUCCCACAAGACUAAAGUAACUUCAGCUCAGAAGGACUGACAAAUCUCCAUUUUUUGCUGUGAUGCGCGGGUACAAUGUUGUUCUAGGAUUCUUUCUGGUGAGUUCCAUCUUUCUAAAAGUGUGCUCUACAUGGCCAUGUAGGUGCGUGUUUAAACUGUCAAUUCAUAGUAUAGUUUGCUUUAUACUAAUCACUUUUUUGUAUUUGUGCAAACAGGGGUGCUCAACUUGAUUUCAAUGGGAACUGCACAAAAUGUUCAUGAAUACAUCGAAUCAUUCAUUUCCACCACAAGAAAGGAGGUGCCGAUAAGUUCAAGGCGUUGCAACAUAUAAGGGCGAAAUCAUACAAGCUACGCGCGAAUUUGGUUGAUUUUGGUGGAACUGCACAAAAAGAAUAGCUGGUUUAUUUAGCAUGAGGUGCCAUGUCAAUGUACGAACUGAUGGCAAACCCUAGCCAUUCCACAAUCGUAGGCAUUUGAUAUUUUGGAAUGGGACAACCUUGUCAAAUUUUGCUCAUUGAUUUUAGCAAGACAUGCGUUUGAUAUUUUCGAACGGGACGCCCUUUGCUGUCAUCAGCGUUGAUCAAUUUUUUCUUUAUUCUUUAGUUGUGAAGUAAAUAUUGCCUCUGACAUGUGAGUCGCUGAGAUGCAUAAUCAUCGAUUGUUUUGAAUGUUCUCUAUGAAUUGCCAGCCCUCUGUGUUUGAUUGCAAUGUACAGAAACGCUAAAAAACUACUCAAACUCUUUGUACUCCUUCUAUUCCUUUUUACUUCGCACAUUGUGAAAGUGAAGACUUUUUUGUAUAAGAUUGGUCAAAGUAGAGACACUUUGACUGCAGACAAAACUUGUAUGUAGACUAGAAAGGACCGGAGGGACUACAUGUGAAACUGCUGCAAACGAGGUGAUCACCCUGGGAAUAAUGCUAGUACGUAUUGUUUUGUAUGUUCAUCCAAUGCCAAUGAUACAGGAAUUCGAACUAAUCGAAAUAAAUUCAUUCAUACACGGUCGGAUUUCAUAUAAACAUGCUGGAUUUCAUUACAUUUCAUACAUUCUUCAACUAAAAAGGGGUGCGUUGGAGGUAUAAUUAAUUAACCGAAGCUACUCACCUGUGUCCCGCUGAGCCGAACAGAAGCUUCAGUGACUUAACUGCAGGAGCAGUUGCGUAACUGAGAUGUGGCCUGUUGGGCCCACAUGUCAGUCAGCCAACUGCACUAGUAGUUAAGUAGAAGCAGCAUUCUUCUACAGCACAGCUCUCCGACUCCACGUCGCCGCCAAGAAGCUAACCGGUCGUCAAUGGUCAACCCGCCUAGCUUGGCUUCAACCGGAGGGUAGCAGUGGUGGCCUUACUUGGACCCGAGCGGUGGCGACCUACCGUGUUCUACUCUUCCUCGUUUUCUAUGUGGCGCGGCCUCAUUGGUAGCGGGGCGGGGCCUCGGCGGAGCCAGCGAUGUCCUCUGUCUCAUUGCCGGCGGACGGCGCCUCGGCGAAGCGGUGGAAAUCCUCCCCCUCAUUGCCGGCAGGGUGGGGCCUCGACUGAGCCGACGAUGUCCUCUGCCUCGUUGUUGGCGGGGUGGGGCCUCGGCGGAGCCGGCGGUGUCCUCUUCCUUGUUGUCCACUCAUAAGAGCUGGCAUUGUCCUCUGCCUCAUCCUCGUUCUCGCCAAAGAGCGCCUCGCCCGCUUCAUCGCCCUCUUUGUAGGCGGCCGCAGCCUCCGCUACCCGCAUGCGGUACCGCCAGCGCUCCCUCGCGGGCAGAGCGGUACGAGUCGAGCAGCGCCUCCUACUCCGCCCGCUCCACGGCGAUCUGCUCCUCCGCCUGCAGGUGCUCCUACAGGAGAUGGUGGUUCUAGGCGGCGUCGGCCCGCGCCUCCCAAAACUGCUCCUCACGCAUCUGCCUCAUCGUGUCCAUAUAUUGGGCACGGGCCUCGCUGAUGGACAUGGUGUAAUGCACCGGCGAUGAUGGCGCGGAGGAGGGGGUUGGCGCCGGAUCGUCGACUACCAUGUUCACCAUUUUGACGUCGUCGUCCUCCGGCUGCCUGCCGGCCAGCCGGUCAGCAACAAUGGUCGCCAUCUCCUUGUGGUUCGUCGUCCGCCCGUCCCAAAGAGCGCUGGAGCGCGAGGAAGCCAUGGUGGGCAGCAGUGGUGUGGACAGGAGAAAGGGAACAAAUGCGGAUGACUGCGGCUAUGGCCGGCGCAGUAGUUUAUAUAUCAAUGGUGGGCGGCGGAGGAACGGACGUGUGGUGCCAGGGUAGCCACCUCGGCAACCGCGUAUCAUUAAUGUGGGUGACAGAUAGACGGACGGAUGGCACUUGUGUCGUUUGAAGGCGGAGCAAUCACCUGCACCGGGAAGCGGGGCGGGCGGUGCUGACUGUUUCGGGCGGAAAGCGCGCGUGGGUGAGGAGAUGACUUUACUUGGAGAGAAUGACAAUGGGGACCCACCAGGGCCAUAGCCUCACAUAUGCAGGUGCCUCCUUAUUAUAUAUAUAUAUAACUAUAAUUUAUUUUGCUUCCUCCUGGUUUCCUAACAUCACGGUCCCACACCAUUGUCAACCUAUGUACUCCCUCCUUUCCGGUUUAUAGGGCUUAUCUCAAAAUUUUAGUUUUUCCAUUUUAUAAGGCUCAAUUUGGUUGUUUUCCAUCACAUGUUCAGAUUCCAAGGUGCAUUAAAUCAUUGCAUGCAAGUAUUAAGAGAAAAUUGACCAAUGCAUGUACUUUAUGCAUGCAUGCAUUGCAAUUAAUGCAUUUAUAAACAUAAUUUUUUGAGGAUAACAAGAGCAUUAAUUAGGUGCUUUUGCAAAACUACAAAAAGUAUUCCACCACUCGCCAUCUACCUUGAUUGGUGAGAUUUUUGAACUGAGCACUAUAAACCGGAAAGGAGGGAGUAGUCAAUAAACGAGAGAAUUGCACAAGAAGCGGCUGACAGCUGGGACCAAGCAGCUCGAGCGGUAUUUGUGUUUUUGAGGUGUGAGCACUGUAGAGUUUUUUGAUGUUUAGCCCAGAUAUUAAUUUUUCUCCUCUGAACAACAACGAAAACAUCACUGCAGGUAUUAACUGGGUGGGCUGUGGCCCGUCUAGCCCAGGCCAGAUAUCCAACCCAGAUAUUAUUAUUUUUCAAGAUGAAAAUGGCUAGCCCAGCUAUACUUUUUUUUAGGAAUACCCAGGCAAGGUCAAGUUGUUAUUCUCUGCCCCACUGGCUGCAAAUCUUUCCUAGGAGGGAUGCAUUAGGCUUAACAAGAAAAUGGGCUUUAAGAAAUAAUAAAUGGGAUGUAAUUAUAAAAACUGAGCAGUAACUAUAAAAAAUGCACCAAACACGUAAUUACUUUAUAAAAUAUUAUUUUCGGAUACUGAAAAUUUUAAUUUCAUUAAUUGUUGCGAGCGCAAUGUUUUGUUAGAUUUUUAUGUAAUAUAAAUUUAUAUUGAAAUUGUAUUUAAUCUGACUAGAAAUUUUGGGAUAAAAAUAUUUCAGUUCCCAUCAAAAUGUGGGAAAUUUUAUUCAAUUAUGUUUUGAACGGUUGGUUGAAAUGGGCUGUACUUUUAACAAACUGUAAAUGGGUUGUAGUAAAUUCCAUUAGAAUUCAAAAAUGGGCUGCACAUUCUUAGAAAUCUCAAAUGGGCUAUAAGUUCUCUGCCACACACUUCUGGCCUUACUAAGUUGACGCGUCCCCUAAAAAAAGAGUUGACGCGUAUGCAAGGCUUUGUCAACUUAUAGUCAACACACGGUUCUAGCAGUAGUGGCCGUUGGAUGUCCAUCCAACGGAUGCCGUGCUUCUUCUUCAAUCUCGGAUAUUCUAGCUUCACCCGCCCAAAAAAGAUUCCUCCCCCUGACAUCUGGGGCGCACCGUUUUGGAAGCUAACCUGUGGGCCUACAAAGUUGACGUACCAAGGGCUUUGUCAACUUAGUCAAUAUAAACGAUUCUAGAUGCAGUGACCGUAUGAUGUCCAUGCAACGGCCAUCGUGCUUCUUCAACCUCUGGUCUUCUUGCUCCAGCCGCCCAAAGCAGCACCGGUCGUGCCGCCUGCUCCUGCCUCCCGUGGCCGGCUGUGCUCCCGCGGAGGCCUCACCGCCCCCUACUACUCCCACCACUAGCCAGGCCAUCCCUCCACUCACCCACACCACCUGUUAUUCUGCGGUGAUGGAAGCCUCACACCGCAGCUGAACCAGUGAACCCUCGUACUCCUCUCCGCAUGGGAAUCCACUGCCGCAUCUUCCCCGGCUCCGCGUCGUCCCCUUCCAAGGCCUCGCCGUCGUCCACUGUCGUGGUGCUCUCGGUGCGGCGUGGUCAACAUGGUCAAGGAAUGAAUUCCAUCGGAUGUGGUGUCACAUCCCUAGUUCUGACAAUGCCUAGUGCAUGCAUUAGAGUGUUGCUUCAUGUUUAAAUUUCAUUUAAACCUGAAAUGGGGAUUGACUAAACCCUAGCACCAAAUGAAUUCAACUAGGGUCAAAAUAAAAUCUUUUUUUCAUUAAACCCAAAAUGCCCUGUAAAAAUGUUCAACAUUUCUGGUUUGAGGUGAAAGCAUCUACCAAAAAUGAUUUAUAUUUUUGCAGGACAUAUUUGGUCACUGAAUUAAAUCAUAUAGUAUUUUCAUUUGGGCAUUUAAAUGCUAUUAAAUAAUUCAAAUGCUCAAAUAAUCAUAAACUAAAAUGUUUACUGUUGGAUAUAUUCUAAACAGUAGCCAUGAUUAGUUUCAUGAUUUUUGAAAGUGUCUGAGUAUUUUUAAUAAAGCCCUAAAUUUACAGAAUAAUAGAAAACAGAACUGAAAUAGAAAUAAAGGAAAGAGAGAGAGGAUACCUGGCCUUACCCGUGCAGCCCACCAGAGCCGGCCCAGCUCCCCCACCUGGCCGGCCCAGCCCACCUCCUCCCCCCCCCCUUGUCCUCUUCUUCCUCUGCCAGUAGGCAGAGGCAAGGCGUGGCGCGCGCCCGAAGAGCUCCGGCCACCUCCUGCUUCGCCGUGGCAGCCUCCCCNNNNNNNNNNNNNNNNNNNNNNNNNNNNNNNNNNNNNNNNNNNNNNNNNNNNNNNNNNNNNNNNNNNNNNNNNNNNNNNNNNNNNNNNNNNNNNNNNNNNNNNNNNNNNNNNNNNNNNNNNNNNNNNNNNNNNNNNNNNNNNNNNNNNNNNNNNNNNNNNNNNNNNNNNNNNNNNNNNNNNNNNNNNNNNNNNNNNNNGCCUACCUGGCCUCACCCGUGCAGCCCACCAGCCGGCCCAGCUCCCCCACCUGGCCGGCCCAGCCCACCUCCUCCCCCUUGUCAUCUUCUUCCUCUGCCAGUAGGCAGAGGCGAGGCGUGGCGCGCGCCCGAAGAGCUCCGGCCACCUCCUGCUUCGCCGUGGCAGCCUCCCCGACUCCCUCGCGACGCCACGGAGACGCCUCGACCCCCUCGACCGCCUCUCUCUCUCUGGACCCCCUCCUCCUCCUCUGCUCUCCCUCCCUCUCGUCACCGAACGCACCUGAGAGCGCCGCUCGCCGUAGCCAUGACCACGGCCACCCCCUCUCNNNNNNNNNNNNNNNNNNNNNNNNNNNNNNNNNNNNNNNNNNNNNNNNNNNNNNNNNNNNNNNNNNNNNNNNNNNNNNNNNNNNNNNNNNNNNNNNNNNNNNNNNNNNNNNNNNNNNNNNNNNNNNNNNNNNNNNNNNNNNNNNNNNNNNNNNNNNNNNNNNNNNNNNNNNNNNNNNNNNNNNNNNNNNNNNNNNNNNNNNNNNNNNNNNNNNNNNNNNNNNNNNNNNNNNNNNNNNNNNNNNNNNNNNNNNNNNNNNNNNNNNNNNNNNNNNNNNNNNNNNNNNNNNNNNNNNNNNNNNNNNNNNNNNNNNNNNNNNNNNNNNNNNNNNNNNAAGAUCGGCCUCGCCGUCCCGCUCGCUUCGACGCCUCCCCGGCCCCGUCGUCUGCACCGGCCAACUCCCCGUGAGCCCCUCUUUCUCGUCCCCCUAGUCAUGUUGCUCAAGCUGCCCCCAAACCCCGUUGGCCAUCACAGCCGAGAGCUCGGCUCCGCCAGCCAUGGCGCCGCCGUGGCCAGGGCCACCGCAGCCCGCGCCUGAGCACGUCACCGUGCUCGGUGAACCCCCGGGAGCACGUAGCACUCUUCGAUUUCUCUGUUAGUGCGCCGUAGCAUCGCCCCCGAUCGCGCCCGAAUUCCGGCCGCCGCGGAAGCGGACGCCGCCGUCGAUCUGGGUCGUCUCCAGCGACCCCACUAGCUCCAGACGACGCGGACGAGGCUCGGGGUUCCAACGGUGCCAUCCGCGCCUCGAACCGUGGCCUGUGCUGCGAUUCCGCGCAUCGCCGCCGUCUCGGACCUCGCCGGCGGUUAGUCGCCGGCAGGUUCGACUGAGUUGACCAGGGGUUUGACCCCCCCUGGGUCGAUGACAGGUGGGGCCAGCCCCCCUGUUAAUUAGUUUAGUUUAUUUUAACUAAUUACCCCCCCUGCUGACACUGACAUGCGGGCCCAGGCUCUAAUUAAAAUUAGGUUAGUUAGUUAGUCACUGACGUGUGGACCCCACACGUCAGGUUUGACCUGAAUCUGCCCCAUUGACCUGAUGACGUCAAGGUGAUGUCAUGCUGAUGCAUUAAAUAAUUUUCUGGAUUUAAAAUAAAUCAGAAAAUCCAGAAAAUUGUAUAAACUUCUAAAAUUCAUAGAAAAUUAACCGUAACUCCAAAUUAAAUAAAUUAUAUAUGAAAAAUUAUCAGAAAUAUUCAAGGAAUCCAUCUGUACCAUUUUCAUGCAUGUUAGAACAACUUAUAGGUGCUGUUUAGCACAAAUCAAUUAAAUGGCAUUUGAAUAAUCACAUAUGGAGUUUGAAUUUGAAUCUUGUAUUCAAACCAACUUCAUUUAAUCUGUUGCUAGUUGCAUUAGCCCAAAACACAUUCAUUUUGCCAUGUCAUGAUCAUGCAUCAUAUUGUGCAUUGCAUUGAUUGUGUUCCCUUCUGUGUUGCCGGUAUUUGUCCCCUCUCGAUAGACGUGAUACCGAUGAUGCGAUCGUUGACACUGAUGAAGACUCAAUGCUAUCUUCAGAAGUGCCAGGCAAGCAAAACCCCCUUGUUCAUUCCGAUAAAAUCCCACUCUUUCGCUCCUGCCCUCUUUUACUGCAUUAGGACAACAUCGAUUCAUCUGUUACUUGCUGCGGUAGCUGAACCCCUUUAUCCUCUGCAUGACCUGUCAUUCCACAGUAAUUAGAUGAAACCCACUAGCAUGAGUAGGAGUUGUUUGAGCCCUGUUGUGCCUACUCAUUCAUGUUUGUUUGUCAUGCCUGCUACUGCUUAGAGUUGAGUCAGGUCUGAUUCAUCGGGGAUGAAUCAGAGGCGUGUGAACAUGUCCUACUGUGUGUGAGCUAAGUGUGUGAAGACGAUUUGGUAAAAGGUAGCGGUGAGAGGCCAUGUAGGAGUACAUGGUGGGUUGUCUCAUUGCAGCCGUCCUCAGGAACUGAGUUCUGUGCUUGUGAUCCAUCAUUCAGCUACUACCAUACAUUGGGCCCUGAAAUAUGACCCCGCUCGACUUCUUAUUCACCCUUGUCCUCUGUCCAGGAGUUGCAAGUAGUUUCUGGUGUUUGUAGCUUACUGGAGGGCGUGGACAGCGCUGACCGUAGGGGUGGGCUGUGAUGCGGUAGGUACGUGGCACGGUGUACCGGAUGCCCGUUUGGUAUCUCGGGAACCCUGUUCACAUCGUUUGGGGCUGUGAGCGAAACUCCGGCCGGAUCUCCUCAUGGAUGGAACCCGAAUAGGCGAUAAACCAGGACUAGAGACUUGAGUGUUUAGGUAGGUCGUGGUCUACACCCACGUCGGCUUUCGCUUGAAGUCUGCCAAGCACAUGUCGUGUGCAGACGCUAAGUGGUGGAAACAUGUAUGAAGAAGUACACCCCUGCAGGGUUAACAUCAUCUAUUCGAAUAGCCGUGUCCGCGGAAAAGGACUUCUGGGUUGCUUAUAUCAGUUCAUAGACAAGUGAAAGUGGAUACUCUAAAAUACGCAAGAUAAGCGUGAGCGCUAUGGAUGGCGUUCUCGUAGGGGAACGAGAGCGGAUCCAUAGUGGUGUAUUGAUAUGGUGAACAUGUGGACUCGUGUGCGCCACCUCAAAAGAGUUACUUGCAGUCGUAGUUCAGGAUAGCCACCGAGUCAAAGCUGGCUUGCUGCAGUCAAACUCCACCGUCCCCUUUGUUGAUAAUGAUGCAUGUGUAGAUAGAUCUGAUGUAAGUCUUGCUGGGUACAUUUGUACUCACGUUUGCCUAUUUUAUGUUUUUGCAGAGAGACUUCAGUCUCACUAGUAGUUCCGCUUGGACUUCGAUGUUUAGCUUGAUACCUCAGCCACGAUAGCUUCCGCUUGUGCUUUGACUUGUAUGCUCUGAUUGUUGGGUCAUGAGACCCAUGUUUGUAAUGUCUCGCUCCUCGGAGCCUAUUGAAUAAAUUACUUGAGUCGUAGAGUCAUGUUGUGAUGCCAUGUUGUAUCUGCACAUAUCGAGCAUAUUGUGUGUAUGUCAGGACCCCGACUCGAUGUCACAUCGAUCUAGCUGGUAACACCUCAUAUCACUUUGCGGCCUCACGCACGGUAUUCCCACGGGUGUCGUCUUACCUUUUCCCGGUACCGUUUGCGCCUUUUGGCUCACGUAUAUGAUAGUGUCGCUAGCAUCCAUAUGAUAAGGAGCCCGGGCUGACAUGACUAGUCGUAAACCCAAAGCGGCACAGACUUACAGGGACAAGCAUCCAUGACCCAGCUUCGAACGUGUCGGUCAUCAGCAAGUGGGUCCGGGCUGUAGCACUGGGCUAGCAGGACUCCGGUAAACCGGGCUGUAGCGGGCUAACAGGACUCCGGUACUCAAAGCGUGACAUUUCCCCGAAGGGACAGACACAGGAACGAAGAAGGACACAUGCCGGCCAGCCUAAGUGUUCCAGAGCAGUAGCAAGCUACCAUGGCUCAGCGGUAACACUAGGAGACAUUUCCCGGUAAGAGAGGCUACUAAAGAUAAACAACUAGAUAGUCAGAUCCCACACAUACCAAGCAUUUCAAUCAUACACACAAUAUGCUCGAUAUGUGCAAAUACAACGAAGCAUCACAACAUGACUCUACGACACAAGUACUUUAUUUAAGGCUCAAGGAGCCAUACAUAUCAUACACAAAGGUACGGGUCUCACGACCCAACAUACAAGUCAUACAGUCAUACAAACCAGCAGCGGAAGUACAUUGUCUGGGUACAGACAACUAGUAAAAUAAAAGAGGCCUGGAAGCCUAGCUAUACUACGUGGUCCAUCACAAGCUCAGGGUCACCACCUGGGUCUUUAGCCUACUCGUUGAUGUCAACGUCUACAUAGAACCCAUCAGAAGGGGUUGCAGCGUCUUCUGUAAAAAUGUAGAUUAUAGCAACAUGAGUACAAAGGUACUCAGCAAGACUUACAUCAGAUCCUACAUACAUGCAUAGUAUCAAGAAGGGUUGGUGGAGUUAUUGCAGCAAGCCAGCUUUGACUCUUGGCUAGACUAUCCUACGAUACUCCAACUUGAAAUGUUUUGCGCACACGAGUCCACUACUCACCACUUCAAUACACUACCGAGGAUCCACCUCCGUCUUCCUACGGAAGAGCCAUCCUCGGCACUCACACUUAUCUUGAGGCUUUUAGUAGUUUCCAUUUACUUGUCUAUGAACUGUAUAGGCAACCAAGUAGUCCUUUACCGCGGACGCGGCUAUUCGAAUAGAUCAUGUUAUCCCUGCAGGGGUGUACUUCUUCAUACAUGUUUCCACCACUUAGCGUCUGCACACGACAUGUGCUCGGCAGACUUCAAGCGAAAGCCGACGUGGGUGUAGACCACGACCUACCUAAACACUUAAGCCUCUAGUCCAGGUUUAUCGCCUAUUCAGGUUCCAUCCGCAGGGAGUCCGGCCGAGGUUUCCCAUACGGCCCCGAACAAUGUGAACAGGGUUCCCGAGAUACCUAACGGGUAUUCGGUACACCCGGCCACGUACCUACCGCAUCACAGCCCACCCCUACGGUCAGCGCUGUCCACGGCCUCCAGUAGGCUACAAACACCAGAAACUACUUGCAACUCCUGGACAGAGAGCUAGGGUGAAUAAGAAGUCGAGCGGGGUCAUAUUUCAGGGCCCAAUGCAUGGUAGUAGCUGUGUCUUAAAUCACACAUACAGAUCUCAGUGCUUAAGGUCGGCUUCAAUGAAACAACCCACCAUGUACUCCUACAUGGCCUCUCAUCGAUACCUUUACCAAAUCAUGUUCACCACACCACUCUCAUUACCGACAUAAUCAUUUCACUCUAGCCCAUCACCCAGAUGAACCAGACCUGACACGACUCUAAGCAUAGCAGGCAUAGCAAGGUAGGAACAACACAUACAUAGGGCUCAAUCAACUCCUACACAUGCUAGUGGGUUUCAUCUAGUUACUGUGGCAAUGACAGGUCAUGCAGAGGAAAUGGGUUCAACUACCGUAGCACACAGCAGUUUGAAUCGCGUUGUCUUAAUGCAGUAAAAGAGAGCAGGAGCGAGAACAUGGGAUUGUAUCGAUAUGAUCAAAUGGUUGGUUGCUUGCCUGAUGGUUCGAUGCACUGAUAUGGUUCUUCGUUAGGGUAAUCACGGUAUUCCUCGGGGACAGAACCUGUCGCAAAGGACAUCGAUACACAAGCAUCACCAAACAAUGUGCAACAAUAUGAUGCAUGCAUGAAACAUGGCAAUAUGAGUGUGUUGGGCUAAUGCAACUAAGCCAGAAGGGUUUGAACAAAUUUGAAUCAAAGAUUCAAAUUCCAAAUUCAAAUAUGGCCUUUUAAAGUGCCUUUUCUUGUUUUGCUUAAAACAUCAAUUUAACUUGUUUGAUCAUGCAUGAAAAUGGUACAGAUGGAUAGAUUGGAUUUUUCUGAUCAUUUUUCAUAUAUAAUUUGUCCAAUUUGGAGUUACAGAAUAAAAGUUAUGAAUUUUUGAAGUUUAAUUAAUAUUCUGGAAUUUCCUGAUUUAAUUUAAAUCCAGAAAAUCAAUUACUGCGUCAGCCUGACGUCAGUGUGACGUCAGCAGGUCAACGGAACAGGUCUGGGUCAAACCUGACAGUGGGUCCCGCAUGUCAGGGUGAUUAAUUUAAUUAAAAGUUAGUUAAAACUAAUCCUGUUUAAUUAACAGGGCUGGGCCCCACCUGUCAUUGACUCAGGGGAGUCAACCAGGGCCCACCCGUGGUCAAAGUCAAAGUCGGCUGCCGGCGUGUAGCCGCCGGCGAGCCCGACGCGGCGGCGGAAGUGGUUUUUGCUAUUUCGGCCACCAAAUGGAACGCGGAGGCCACCGGAGUGGAGCUGAGGACAACCCGCAGCUCUUGGCGGAGUCCGUUGGGGUCGGGGUGGCCGGAGUCGACGCCGGCGAUGACUUUGGCGGCCACCGAGGUUCGGUCGGAGGUGAACUUGGUGCUAGAGGGUUCGGUGAGGCUCGUGGAGUGGCUAGCUAGGUGCUGCGGGACGCGGUGAGCAAGAUGGACACCAUCUUGUGGCCGGAGGAUGACCAGGAGCACGUCGGCAACGAGGUCCACGGCGGUGGGUGCGGUUGAGCUCCGGGAGGUUGCUACACGGCUCGGGAGCAAGAACGAAGGGGAGGGGAAGAUGGCUAAGCUCACAGUGAGUGCGACGGAGUCCCUGGUGCGGCCGGAGAUGGACCGGAGCGACGAUGGCGUUGAAGGGGAUCUCCGGCGACGGUGAGCUCGGGCGAGGUCGGUGCGGUGGUCUCGGGCGUUGCGAGCGCUCGGGGCUCGGCUGCUCGAUGAAGUGGACAGCGGCGGAGCUCCUGGACACGGUGAGACGGCGUGGGGUGGUCGGAGGGCGUGGCUACGGCGAGGGGGUGGCGGCGAUGGCGUCGGCCAUGGCUGGGGCGUGCGAGGGGNNNNNNNNNNGCUCGGGUGAGGUCGGUGCGGUGGUCUCGGGCGUUGCGAGCGCUCGGGGCUCGGCUGCUCGAUGAAGUGGACAGCGGCGGAGCUCCUGGACACGGUGAGACGGCGUGGGGUGGUCGGAGGGCGUGGCUACGGCGAGGGGGUGGCGGCGAUGGCGUCGGCCAUGGCUGGGGCGUGCAAGGGGAAGGAGCUGGAGAGGAGAGGGGGUGUCUGGGGGGUUCGGGGGAGAGAGAGAGGCCGAUCCACGGCGUUAGCCGGGCGAGGGAGGCGGCGAGGCGGCGAGCAGCUGCGUGGCGAGCUGCGGUGCCGCCGCCGAGCACCUUGGCUGCCUGCCUGGCGAGCCAAGCAGCUCGCUGGAGUGGUGGCCGGGCUGGGCCGGCCAGGUGGGCUGGCUGGUGGGCCUGCGGUGGCGUCAGGUAGGUUUUCCCCCUUAUUUUCUGUUUCUGUUUUUAUUUAAUAUAUCUGCAACUUUGUUGAAUUAAAUAAAAUACCUAGGCAACUUCAAAAAUCACCAAACUAUUCCUGGCCCAUAGUUGGAUUAUUUCCAACAUGAAACAUUUUAGUUUGGAGAUAUUUGAGCAGUUAAAUAUUUUAUAUUAUUUUAAAUGCCCAAAUUCAAAUAUUUAUGAUUUAAUUCAAAACCCUAGGAUGGCCUAGGAAAAUGUGCACCACUUUUGGCAGAGGUUCUGAACCAAGACAAAAAUGAUGGGCAUUUUAGAAGGGCAUUUCAGGUUCAUUGAAAAUUAUUUUAGUAACCCUAGUUGGUUUCAGAGGGGACUGGGGGUUCUGUCAUCCCCAUUUCAAGUUUCUGAUGAAAGAGUAAACAUGAUGCAACACUCUAAUGCAUGACUAGCUAGGGUGUGACAACUCACCCCCACUCAAAAGAAUCUCGUCCCGAGAUUCGGGUUCCUUCGGGAAGAAGGCGGGAUAUUCAAGUCGAAGACGAUCCUCCCUUUCCCAAGUUGCUUCAUCCUCAGAAUGGUGCGACCAUUGAACCUUGAGAAACUUGAUAUUAUGACGUCGCGUGGUACGUUCGGCUUGAUCGAGGAUACGAAUGGGGUACUCCCGAUAUGUAAGAUCAUCUUGGAGAUCAAGCAUUUCGUGGUCCACUUCACGGACAGGAUCCGAGAAGCGACGCCUGAGUUGAGAAACGUGGAAGACAUCGUGAACUCUGGAGAGGUGCGGAGGUAGUUCCAACUGGUAGGCAACUUCUCCCCGUUUGGCAAGAAUGCGAAAAGGUCCAAUGUAACGAGGAGCCAAUUUGCCUUUGAUACCGAAACGAUGGGUUCCCUUCAGAGGGGUGACCCGAAGAUAAGCCUUCUCGUCAACCUCGAAAGUCAUAGCCUUAUGUUUUCGGUCAUAUUGACUCUUUUGACGAGAUUGGGCUGUUUUCAACUUUUCACGAACGAUACGAACUUGUUCUUCUGCUUCCUGAAUCAUAUCCGGGCCAAAGAAUUGUCUUUCCCCGGUCUCUGACCAGUUAAGGGGCGUUCGACAUCGUCGUCCAUAGAGAACUUCAAAAGGGGAUUUACCCAAGCUAGAUUGAUAGCUGUUGUUGUAAGCGAAUUCGGCAAAUGGAAGGCACUUCUCCCAGUCCAUUCCGAAAGAGAUAACGGAGGCUCGAAGCAUGUCUUCUAGAAUCUGAUUGACGCGUUCCACUUGACCACUCGACUGAGGGUGGAAAGCGGUGCUAAAGGAGAGACGGGUUCCCAUAGCAUUUUGGAAACUUUCCCAAAAUCGAGAGGUGAAAAGACUUCCUCGAUCCGAGUUAAUUUCCAGAGGAACACCAUGGAGAGACACUAUUCGGGAGAUGUACAAAUCUGCCAGCUGACUAGCGGUUAUACUCUCACGAGCAGGUAAAAAAUGAGCUACUUUGGAAAGACGAUCGACCACGACGAAGAUAGCAUUAUUCCCUCUCUUGGUCCUGGGAAAACCGGUAAUGAAAUCCAUACCAAUUUUAUCCCAUUUCCAUUCAGGAAUAGCUAAGGGUUGAAGGGUGCCAGCAGGCCGUUGAUGCUCUGCUUUUACACGUCGACAGACGUCGCAAUUUGCAAUAUACUGAGCAAUUUCUCUCUUCAUCCUAGUCCACCAGAACCUCUGGCGUAGGUCCUGAUACAUCUUAGUACUACCGGGAUGAAUGGUGAGAGGAGAUUCAUGAGCUUCCUUAAGGAUCAAUCACCUCAGGUUGCGCACUUUGGGAACCACUAGUCGAUCCCCGAAGUAUACGACCCCUUGAUCAUUAAUGGAGAAGCAAUUCGCAAUUCCUUUCUAAAUGUUUCUCUUGAUGCGGGAGAUUCCCGGAUCUACCUUCUGUGCUUUGAUAAUUUGAUCCGUAAGGGUAGGUUUUGCCACCAAGGUGGAAAGAAAACCUUGAGGUAUAAUGUGAAGGUUAAGCUUCCGAAAUUCCUCAUGGAGAAGCGGUUGACUUUGUUGUAACAUCAGGUUGUUACAAUAAGAUUUACGACUUAGCGCAUCAGCCUUGACGUUGGCUUUCCCUGGGGUGUAGGUUAUUCCUAAGUCGAAGUCUGUGAUCAAUUCAACCCAACGUCUCUGCCUGAGAUUCAAAUCCGGUUGGGUGAAAAUGUACUUCAGGCUUUGGUGAUCAGUGAAUAUUUCGCAACGAUUACCGAGGAGGUAAUGUCGCCAGGUCUUAAGUGCAUAGACUACGGCUGCAAGCUCUAGAUCAUGAGUAGGAUAAUUCUCCUCAUGUGGGUGCAAUUGCCGUGAAGCGUAAGCAAUUACGUGUCGAUCUUGCAUGAGAAUGCAACCUAGUCCUUGUCGCGAGGCGUCGCAGUAGAUAACAAAGUCCUUGGAGAAGUCUGGCGGUACCAGCACGGGAGCAGAGGUCAGGCGUCUUUUCAGUUCCUGAAAGCUGUGCUCACAUUGUGGGGUCCAUUUGAACUUCUUAUCUUUCUUGAGGAGUUCGGUUAGAGGUUUAGCAACUUUGGAGAAGUUCUCGACAAAGCGACGGCAAUAGCUCGCUAAGCCUAGAAAACUCCGAACUUGCUUGACCGAUUCGGGUGGAGUCCAAUUAAGGACGGCUUGAACUCGCUCAGGGUUAACAGCAAUACCUUUACCAGAUAUUACAUGACCCAGAUAGGUCACUUCUGACAACCAGAAUUCACAUUUUGAAAAUUUGGCAUAAAGGCGAUGCUCUCGAAGUUUCUUCAACACUAGCCUUAAAUGUUCGGCAUGUUCUUCCUCGUUCUUGGAGUAGAUGAGUAUAUCAUCGAGAUAAACUACGACGAAUUUAUCCAAAUACUCCAUGAAGAUUGAGUUCAUUAACCGAGAAAAGGUGGCUGGAGCGUUGGUUAAUCCGAAGGACAUGACGGUGUACUCGUAUUGGCCAUAACGAGUAACAAAGGCCGUUUUGGGAAUGUCCCUGUUUCUGAUUUUGAUUUGAUGGUAGCCCAACCUCAAAUCCAUCUUGGAGAAGACUGAGGAUCCAGCGAGCUGAUCAUACAGAUCGUUGAUCCUGGGAAGUGGAUAUUUGUUCUUGAUUGUGACCAAAUUGACAGGUCGGUAAUCUACAACCAUCCGAUCCGUACCAUCCUUCUUCUUGACGAAUAGGACGGGGCAAGCCCACGGAGAUGAACUAGGGCGGAUGAAACCCUUUUUCAAGGAUUCGUCGAGUUGUUUCUUAAGCUCGGCUAGUUCUAGGGGUGCCAUUUUAUAAGGUCUUCUAGCAAUCGGAACGGUUCCGGGGAUGAGGUCGAUUACGAACUCAACAUCCCUGUCAGGUGGAACACCUGGCAAUUCCUCUGGGAAGACAUCCGGGAAGUCACGGACUACCGGAACGUCCUCAAGGUCUGGCAAAGGGCUAGCGUUAAGGGAAUAUAAUUGUCGCUUGGCUAUUCGGGUCAAGACAUUGACUAUCUUCCCCGAAGGAUGGGUGAGUUGAACAGUCCUAGAGAAGCAAUCAAUUUGGGCAUGAUGAGCUGACAUCCAGUCCAUACCCAGAAUGAUAUUAAUAUCUGAAGAUUUAAGGGCUAUCAAAGAUGCGAGGAAAACAAGUCUGUCGACUUGGGUUUCAUUUCCAUAACUUACCCUAGAGGUCUGCCAUCUAGAACCAGGGGUAGAAAUUUCCAUAGUGGACGGCAAGUCACAGAAUGCAACGUUAUGCAAACGAGCAUAAUUUUCAGAUAUAAAAGAAUGAGAGGCUCCUGUAUCGAAAAGAACAGAUGCCGGGUGGCAAUUAACAAGAAGCGUACCGAGAACGACGUUGGGGUCCUCUUGAGCUUCUUCGGUAGAGAUACAGUUGACAUGGCCACGUGAAGCGGUGACCGGUUUAGCAUGAAACACUUUCCCUAUCGGCUUGCCACGGCCAACAGCUUUAGCAGAUUGAUUUGGGUUGGUCUGGGGACACUCACGCAUAUAGUGGCCAGAUUCCCCACACUUGAAACAAGUCACGGAACUGGUACGUGGAGGAGCAUUAUUGGUUGGACCCCCAUAGGGCUUGGCCGGUGCAGACUGUUGAACAGGGCGAGGCGCCUGGAAGGAUGGCCUCGGUGUGAACCUGGGUGGCAGGGCGGUGUUGGGUACCCACACGCGGCGCUUCUGAGGACCAGCACCGGAUGAGGAACCCAUGUCACGUCCAUGCUUGCGUGUUGCGUCAUAGUCAGUCUGACCAGUUUCAGCACUGAUGGCUUUGUUGACAAGUUUCGAAAAAGAUGUGCACUCAUGCAGACGGAGGUCGCGGCGAAGCUCAGGACUAAGUCCCUUACGGAACCUUGCUUGCUUCUUGGCGUCAGUAGACACUUCCUCAGUUGCAUAUCGGGCGAGAUUACCAAACUCUCUGCUAUAGGCAUCCACAGAAAGUCGGCCUUGGGUGAAACUACAAAAUUCUUCACGUUUACGGUCCAUGAGACCCUCCGGAUUGUGAUGUUCACGGAAAGCCUCGCUGAACUCAGCCCAAGUGGUGACAUGGCCCGCUGGGUGCAUAGCUCCAUAAUUCUCCCACCAUAGACUGGCAGGGCCUUCAAGAUGAUAUGCAGCAAAGGUGACCUUGUCAGCCUCCGCUACCAGCGCGGAACGCAGCUUGUGAGAGAUACUGCGAAGCCAGUCAUCAGCGUCGAGAGGCUCGACGGAGUGGUGGAACGUGGGUGGAUGCAAUUUGAUAAAAUCACUGAGUGACACCACGUUAGCCCUCUGAUGGUGUGCUGUAUUCUGUUCAAUACGCUCCAACAAACGGUUUGUCUCCCGCUUGUUUCUCUCAGCUUCCAUCAUAACCUGGGCUAGUGAAGGAGGAUGAGGCAGAUUUGCAUCCCUGGCUUCACUGCCUUCGGCCUGCUCUUGGGAAGCAGGGUUAGCGCGCGUGUUGACCAUCCUAGGUAAACAAGACAAUGAUUUAGUCAGAAUGAUAAAAUUCCGACAUAGGAUACAUAAUGUAAGGAAUAACUCGGAAUGCAAGAUGAUCAUCCGUAUGACAUGGUAGAUACAGAAACUGCUUCUUUUAUUCCAUCAUCAUACACACCAUACAAGGUUUAGUACAAGACCAAACAAAGUACUAUUACGGUGAGAAAAAGGAUUACAUCUCAUCGGAGGCAUUCCAAGCUCCUAUACAUUAUUUUUCUACACCUCCGGAAAGAGUACAACUAGGUCAUAUCCCACGAGUCACGCAGGACGAUAGACGACACGGCUAGUGCGAACUAGUGAUACUACCCCUAAUUCAGACCGAUCCGUAGUAGUCCUCAUAGAAGUCACCUCCAUAGCCUGGAAGUUCAACAUGAUCAUCCGGAAACAGACGGUCUCGCGGAGCUUGUGGACCAUAGGGGCUAGGAUGAGGCCUUGGACCAACAAACGGUGGCCUGCGGGGACCGCGAGGUGGGGUGAUGCCUCCUACAUCACGCCAAACCAUCACGUCUGGCAGAGCAGAUCUCACAGGAUAGAGAUCGCGCAUAUCUGAAUAUCCAGCUUGCACCGCCGGUGCGAACCGAGUCAAAGUAGCCCAGUGGUCAGCACGGGUAUUGAAGAGCUCUAACCUUAAGGCCCGAUUUUCAUGGUCCUUAUCCUCGAGCAUCUCAGCAGUGGUGCGAGUCCGUGAAUCCUCCUGAGUGGAGUCAGCAUAGAUAGCCUGGAGAUACCCUUGUGCUCCCGGAAGUGAUCCUGGCAUAUACCGGAAAUCAGAGUCCCGAAAUAAACCAGAUCUGACUCGCAUAAUGGUCAUCAUAGAGUAGGCUGCGUCCUGCACAGCCAUCUCAAUAGUAACCCCGAGUCCAUAGGAGCAGUGAAGAGGCUCGGUAGAUCCAGGAUAAGAUGGAAAUAUCCUGACAGUGCAGAGAUACUGGCUUUGAUUGAAGUCCCGAAAUUGCUCUUCGACCGUGUACUCAGGAUACCAGCGGUAUCCAGCCUCAGUCAUUACCCUGACCAACUUAGCAGUAUGGCCGGGUACAUCUAGGCAUCGAGUCAGGCGAACCACUUGAUUGAGGUCGCGAGUGGCCAUCUGAAAGCACAAUCAUAAUGCAAAGGCAUUAGAAUUUCUAGCAAAAUUUCGGCAGCAUAACAGCUGUAAAUGCUCAAAAAGAAUUUUGAGACAUUUAACAAAGGAUUUCGUACACACUCAACAUCACCAUAUCAAAGUUCUGAAACCAUUCUAACAACAUAAUGUGGUAGUAGAACUGAACUAGGCUUGUAACCAUCAAACUUAUAAGGUACUACUGAUUAGUAACUCGUGAUCCUGAUAGAGAGAACAGAUCCUAAUUCCUUAACCCCCGGUGGAAGAAUGGACUGACUCAGAUCAGAAUGUCAUAAGAUAGAGGAGUAAAAAGAGCCUUACGUUCCAUCCCACAAACAAUUCCCCUACAUAUAACUAAAGAAUUUCUAGACUCACCAUCGACCAGUUUGGCUUGGAGAACCUACAGGCAGUCCGGCUCUGAUGCCAACGCUGUUAGGACCCCGACUCGAUGUCACAUCGAUCUAGCUGGUAACACCUCAUAUCACUUUGCGGCCUCACGCACGGUAUUCCCACGGGUGUCGUCUUACCUUUUCCCGGGACCGUUUGCGCCUUUUGGCUCACGUAUAUGAUAGUGUCGCUAGCAUCCAUAUGAUAAGGAGCCCGGGCUGACAUGACUAGUCGUAAACCCAAAGCGGCACAGACUUACAGGGACAGGCAUCCAUGACCCAGCUUCGAACGUGUCGGUCAUCAGCAAGUGGGUCCGGGCUGUAGCACUGGGCUAGCAGGACUCCGGUAAACCGGGCUGUAGCGGGCUAACAGGACUCCGGUACUCAAAGCGUGACAUUUCCCCGAAGGGACAGACACAGGAACGAAGAAGGACACAUGCCGGCCAGCCUAAGUGUUCCAGAGCAGUAGCAAGCUACCAUGGCUCAGCGGUAACACUAGGAGACAUUUCCCGGUAAGAGAGGCUACUAAAGAUAAACAACUAGAUAGUCAGAUCCCACACAUACCAAGCAUUUCAAUCAUACACACAAUAUGCUCGAUAUGUGCAAAUACAACGAAGCAUCACAACAUGACUCUACGACACAAGUACUUUAUUUAAGGCUCAGGGAGCCAUACAUAUCAUACACAAAGGUACGGGUCUCACGACCCAACAUACAAGUCAUACAGUCAUACAAACCAGCAGCGGAAGUACAUUGUCUGGGUACAGACAACUAGUAAAAUAAAAGAGGCCUGGAAGCCUAGCUAUUCUACGUGGUCCAUCACAAGCUCAGGGUCACCACCUGGGUCUUUAGCCUACUCGUUGAUGUCAACGUCUACAUAGAACCCAUCAGAAGGGGUUGCAGCGUCUUCUGUAAAAAUGUAGAUUAUAGCAACAUGAGUACAAAGGUACUCAGCAAGACUUACAUCAGAUCCUACAUACAUGCAUAGUAUCAAGAAGGGUUGGUGGAGUUAUUGCAGCAAGCCAGCUUUGACUCUUGGCUAGACUAUCCUACGAUACUCCAACUUGAAAUGUUUUGUGCACACGAGUCCACUACUCACCACUUCAAUACACUACCGAGGAUCCACCUCCGUCUUCCUACGGAAGAGCCAUCCUCGGCACUCACACUUAUCUUGAGGCUUUUAGUAGUUUCCAUUUACUUGUCUAUGAACUGUAUAGGCAACCAAGUAGUCCUUUACCGCGAACGCGGCUAUUCGAAUAGAUCAUGUUAACCCUGCAGGGGUGUACUCCUUCAUACACGCUCUCACCACUUAUCGUCGUUUACACGACAUGUACUCGGCAACCUUCAAGCGGAAGCCCAACGUGGGUGUCGGCCACGACCUACCUAAUCACCUAAGCCUCCAGUCCAGGUUUAUCGCCUAUUCAGGUUCCAUCCGCAGAGAGUCCGGCCGAGGUUUCCCAUACGGCCCCGAACGAUGUGAACAGGGUUCCCGAGAUACCUAACGGGUAUUCGGUACACCCGGCCACGUACCUACCGCAUCACAGCCCACCCCUACGGUCAGCACUGUCCACGGCCUCCAGUAGGCUACAAACACCAGAAACUACUUGCAACUCCUGGACGGAGAACUAGGGUGAAUAAGAAGCCGAGAGGGUCCAUUGGUUUCGGGCCCAAUGCAUGGUAGUAGCUGAUUCUUAAAUCACACAUACAGAUCUCAGUGCUUAAGGUCGGCUUCAAUGAAACAACCCACCAUGUACUCCUACAUGGCCUCUCAUCGAUACCUUUACCAAAUCGUGUUCACCACACCACUCUCCUUACCGACAUAACAUUUCACUCCAGCCCAUCACCCAGAUGAACCAGACCUGACACGACUCUAAGUAUAGCAGGCAUAGCAAGGUAGGAACAACACAUACAUAGGGCUCAAUCAACUCCUACACAUGCUAGUGGGUUUCAUCUAGUUACUGUGGCAAUGACAGGUCAUGCAGAGGAAAUGGGUUCAACUACCGUAGCACACAGCAGUUUGAAUCGCGUUGUCUUAAUGCAGUAAAAGAGAGUAGGAGCGAGAUCAUGGGAUUGUAUCGAUAUGAUCAAAUGGUUGGUUGCUUGCCUGAUGGUUCGAUGCACUAAUAUGGUUCUUCGUUAGGGUAAUCACGGUAUUCCUCGGGGACAGAACCUGUCGCAAAGGACAUCGAUACACAAGCAUCACCAAACAAUGUGCAACAAUAUGAUGCAUGCAUGAAACAUGGCAAUAUGAGUGUGUUGGGCUAAUGCAACUAAGCCAGAAGGGUUUGAACAAAUUUGAAUCAAAGAUUCAAAUUCCAAAUUCAAAUAUGGCCUUUUAAAGUGCCUUUUCUUGUUUUGCUUAAAACAUCAAUUUAACUUGUUUGAUCAUGCAUGAAAAUGGUACAGAUGGAUAGAUUGGAUUUUUCUGAUCAUUUUUCAUAUAUAAUUUGUCCAAUUUGGAGUUACAGAAUAAAAGUUAUGAAUUUUUGAAGUUUAAUUAAUAUUCUAGAAUUUCCUGAUUUAAUUUAAAUCCAGAAAAUCAAUUACUGCGUCAGCCUGACGUCAGUGUGACGUCAGCAGGUCAACGGAACAGGUCUGGGUCAAACCUGACAGUGGGUCCCGCAUGUCAGGGUGAUUAAUUUAAUUAAAAGUUAGUUAAAACUAAUCCUGUUUAAUUAACAGGGCUGGGCCCCACCUGUCAUUGACUCAGGGGAGUCAACCAGGGCCCACCCGUGGUCAAAGUCAAAGUCGGCUGCCGGCGUGUAGCCGCCGGCGAGCCCGACGCGGCGGCGGAAGUGGUUUUUGCUAUUUCGGCCACCAAAUGGAACGCGGAGGCCACCGGAGUGGAGCUGAGGACAACCCGCAGCUCUUGGCGGAGUCCGUUGGGGUCGGGGUGGCCGGAGUCGACGCCGGCGACGACUUUGGCGGCCACCGAGGUUCAGUCGGAGGUGAACUUGGUGCUAGAGGGUUCGGUGAGGCUCGUGGAGUGGCUAGCUAGGUGCUGCGGGACGCGGUGAGCAAGAUGGACACCAUCUUGUGGCCGGAGGAUGACCAGGAGCACGUCGGCGACGAGGUCCACGGCGGUGGGUGCAGUUGAGCUCCGGGAGGUUGCUACACGGCUCGGGAGCAAGAACGAAGGGGAGGGGAAGAUGGCUAAGCUCACAGUGAGUGCGACGGAGUCCCUGGUGCGGCCGGAGAUGGACCGGAGCGACGAUGGCGUUGAAGGGGAUCUCCGGCGACGGUGAGCUCGGGCGAGGUCGGUGCGGUGGUCUCGGGCGUUGCGAGCUCUCGGGGCUCGGCUGCUCGAUGAAGUGGACAGCGGCGGAGCUCCUGGACACGGUGAGACGGCGUGGGGUGGUCGGAGGGCGUGGCUACGGCGAGGGGGUGGCGGCGAUGGCGUCGGCCAUGGCUGGGGCGUGCAAGGGGAAGGAGCUGGAGAGGAGAGGGGGUGUCUGGGGGGUUCGGGGGAGAGAGAGAGGCCGAUCCACGGUGUUAGCCGGGCGAGGGAGGCGGCGAGGCGGCGAGCAGCUGCGUGGCGAGCUGCGGUGCCGCCGCCGAGUACCUUGGCUGCCUGCCUGGCGAGCCAAGCAGCUCGCUGGAGCGGUGGCCGGACUGGGCCGGCCAGGUGGGCUGGCUGGUGGGCCUGCGGUGGCGUCAGGUAGGUUUUCCCCCUUAUUUUCUGUUUCUGUUUUUAUUUAAUAUAUCUGCAACUUUGUUGAAUUAAAUAAAAUACCUAGGCAACUUCAAAAAUCACCAAACUAUUCCUGGCCCAUAGUUGGAUUAUUUCCAACAUGAAACAUUUUAGUUUGGAGAUAUUUGAGCAUUUAAAUAUUUUAUAUUAUUUUAAAUGCCCAAAUUCAAAUAUUUAUGAUUUAAUUCAAAACCCUAGGAUGGCCUAGGAAAAUGUGCACCACUUUUGGCAGAGGUUCUGAACCAAGACAAAAAUGAUGGGCAUUUUAGAAGGGCAUUUCAGGUUCAUUGAAAAUUAUUUUAGUAACCCUAGUUGGUUUCAGAGGGGACUGGGGGUUCUGUCAUCCCCAUUUCAAGUUUCUGAUGAAAGAGUAAACAUGAUGCAACACUCUAAUGCAUGACUAGCUAGGGUGUGACAGUGUAUGCUAUUGAAAUGCUUGGUAUGUGUGGGAUCUGACCAUCUAGUUGUUUAUCUUUAGUAGCCUCUCUUACCGGGAAAUGUCUCCUAGUGUUUCCACCGAGCCAUGGUAGCUUGCUACUGCUCCGGAACACUUAGGCUGGCCGGCAUGUGUCCUUCUUCGUUCCUGUGUCUGUCCCUUCGGGGAAAUGUCACGCAAUGUAUACCGGAGUCCUGUUAGCCCGCUACAGCCCGGUUCACCGGAGUCCUGCUAGCCCAGUGCUACAGCCUGGAUUCACUCGCUGAUGACCGACACGUUCGAUGCUGGGUCAUGGAUGCCUGUCCCUGUAAGUUUGUGCCACUUUGGGUUUACGACUAGCCAUGUCAGCCCGGGCUCCUUAUCAUAUGGAUGCUAGCGACACUGUCAUAUACGUGUGCCAAAAGGCGCAAACGGUCCCGGGUAAAGGUAAGGCGACACCCGUGGGAAUACCGUGCGUGAGGCCGCAAAGUGAUAUGAAGUGUUACAUGCUAGAUCUAUGUGGCAUUGAGUCGGGGUCCUGACAUGUGGACUGUACGUGGACAGGCUGACAGCUGGGUCCACGGCCGCAGCAAGGAAGUGCCUCCUUAUUACGCGGAAAAUAAUGAUUCCUCCACCUGGCAACUGGGACCCACCGGACGGGCCACUAUAUUUUGUGAAAAAACCGUUUCCCCCCUGACUGCUGGGACCCACCAGCUACAUCUUCGCACGCAAGGAAGUGUGUCCGAAAAAACGAUUCGCCCCCUGACUGUUGGGACCCACCAUCUACAUCUUCACACGCAAGGAAGUGCCUGACAGUCGGGACCCACCUGGUCAAAGCGUACGUAGCGUUGUCAUUCUGGUCGCGAACGUGUACGUACAUACUGGUGGAUGUAGAGGCGCGCACGUGUCAUAGUAGAGGCACACCCGUGUCGUAGUAGAGCCGCGUACGUGCCGUAGUAGAGGCGCGCACGUAGCAUGUACACAUACGUACAACGGCCAGUGUGCAAGAAAGAAAAUACGACCACGUAUGUGUACAUACGGGCGGAGUCUCGAACGCCUACUCGUGCAUAUGUACGGCCAGGGCUCGUGUACAUGGCUGGGUCGGAAUGGAGAAACAGCGUCGUCGCCGUGUUCUUGGGGAGCCAACCGGCUGGGUCAGAACGGAAUGCGUCCUCGUGUUCAUCGGGAGGGCUUGGACGGAACAGGCGAUGGAAACGAGGCCUGGCGUAUCGCAGAACAGAGGAAACGGCCUUGUGUUCGACCGGGCACGUUCGAAAUGGUAUCCUAUUCAUCGGGAGGGGUCUGGUGUACCGCAAAAUGGAGGAAACAGACCUCCUAUGGUCGAAACGGGGGUCCUGUUGAUCGGGAGGGGUGUGGCGUACCGCAAAAUGGACAAAACGGACUUGUGUUGGAGCGCUACGGUCGAAAUGAGGGUCCUGUUCAUCGGGAGGGGUGUGGCGUACCACAAAACGGGACUCCACGGGAUAUUGUUCAUCUCUACCGUCGACCUCCUCCAGCCUCCACGGGCUACCGUCGACCUCCUCCAGCCUCCACGGGCUCCUGUUCAUCCAGCCUCCACCACGCGCUACUCCACCGGCUACUGUUCAACCACCCCUCCACGGGCACCCCUCCAUCGUCUACUAUUCAUCCAGCCCUCCUUGGGCUCGUCCUAUUCAUCCAGCCCUCCAUGGUGUCCUAUUCAUCCAGCCCUAGCCGACUCGAUCGAGGCAACGCCACAGGGUCGUGUUCAUCCACCCCCACCGAUCACUGUUCAUCCACCCCCCCGCAACGCUCACUGUUCAUCCAGAGAGGCAGCAUCGAUCGGCUUCAGUUAGCAUCAAUAGCGGAGGAAUCUCUUGACGCGUAGCCUGCUGUGCAAUCGCUCGGGUUCAGUUAGAGACCGACGCCUCGCUUGGGUUCAGUUAGAGCCAAUGCCUCGCACACACGUGCGUACAUGUAUGAGAGAAACGCGCAUCGCUCGGCCCCCGACUGCCCACCGUAACUGGGAACUCCCCAAAAUUUUCCUCGCCCUCGCUUCUACCACGGUUUUUCCCGUCAUGGAUGGCCCAAAGAAUGUCAUGCAGCCGCAUGUCCGGCCCGCCCAGGACGAAAAGCCCAUUUUCUGUCAUGAUUUUUUGUCAUAGAAGUAGGAGCCCACCACAUCUAUGAUGAUACCGGGUUUUGUCACAAUUAUCGUCAUAGAAGUGUCAUAAGUAUGACAGAAAAAAUUUCGUUCGGCCCAAAAUGUCACAGAUGUGUCUUUUUUUGUAGUGUCAACACGAGGUAAGUAGGGUGAAUCUCGGGUUUAAAAAGCCAAGAGUAGAAUACCUACUACUAAGUGGCAUCACGAGAUGCUUUCGAGAAUGAUGGUGGCCGGAAUCAUCACACAGGGACACUCGGACAGCAUAACGGCUGUAAAUGCUCAAAAAGAUUUGAGACAUGCUACUAAAAGGGUGGCAUAACCACUCAGAAGCACAAUAUCAAGGUAUAGAGAUCAACAGUUAACAUACAGAAGUAGUAGGAACUAAACUGAGGCUUGAAUUCAACAAUCUUACAAGUCUACAGAUUAGUAACACGUGAUCCUGAUAGAAAGAGGAGAUAGCCUAGUUCCUUAACCCUGCAGGAGAGAUAGGAUGACUCGGAUCAGAAUGGCAUAUGGUAAAGGAGUAAAAGAUCCUUACGUUCCAUCCCACAAUCAAUUCCCCUACAUAACUAAAGAAUUUCUAGACUCAACUGUGACUAGUUUGGCUUGGUGAUCCUACAUGCAGUCAGGCUCUGAUACAAAUGCUUUCAGGACCCCAACUCAAUGCCACACCGAUCUAGCAUGUAACACCUCAUAUCACUUUGCGGCCUCACGCACGGUAUUUCCACGGGUGUCGCCUUAUCAGGCCCGGGACCAUUUGCGCCUUUUGGCACACGUAUAUGAUAGUGUCGCUAGCAUCCAUAUGACAAGGAGCCCGGGUUGACAUGGCUAGUCGUGAACCCAAAGUGGCACUAACUUACAGGGACAGGCAUACAUGUCCCAGCAACGAACAUGUUGGCCAUCAGCGAGUGAAUCCGGGCUGUAGCAGCUAGGCUAGCAGGACUCCGGUAAAUCGGGCUGUAGCAGGCUAAUAGGACUCCGGUAGACACCGCAUGACAUUUCCCUGAAGGGACAGACACAGGAACGAAGAAGAACACAUGCUGGCCAGCCUAAGUGUUCCGAAGCAGUAGCAAGCUACCAAGGCUCAGUGGAAGCACUAGGAGACAUUUCCCCAUAAGAGAGGAUACCAAGGAUAAACAACUAGAUAGUCAGAUCCCACACAUACCAAACAUUUCAAUAACAUACACACAAUAUGCUCGAUAUGUGCAAAUACAACAUGGCAUCACAACAUGACUCUACAACUCAAGUAUUUUAUUCAAUAGGCUCCGAGGAGUGAGAUAUUACAAACAUGGGUCUCAUGACCCAACAUUCAGAGCAUACAACUCAAAGCACAAGCAGAAGCUUAACAUGCCUGAGUACAGACAUCUACAAAUGAAAAAGGCUGAGAAGACUGACUAUCUACCAGAUCCUGCCGAGGGCACAAGAUUGUAGCUGAGGUAACAAGCUAAACGUCGAAGUCCACACGGAACUACUAGUGAGACGGAAGUCUCUCUACAAAACAUAAAAUAGGCAAACGUGAGUAUAAAUGUACCCAGCAAGACUUACAUCAGAUCUAACUACAUAUGCAUCAUUAUCAACAAAGGGAUGGUGGGGUUUAACUACAGCAAGCCAGCUUUGACUCGGUGGCUAUCCUAAACUACGACUACAAGUAACUCUUUUGGGGUGGCGCACAGGAGUCCACAUAUUCACCAUAUCAAUACACCACUACGGAUCUGGUCCCGUCUCCCUACGAGAACGCCAUCCAUAGCACUCACGCUUAUCUUGCGUAUUUUAGAGUAUCCACUUUCACUUUUCUAUGAACUGUAUAGGUAACCCAGAGGUCCUUUACCAUGGACGCGGCUAUUCGAAUAGAUGAUGUUAACCCUGCAGGGGUGUACUUCUUCACACACGCUAUCACCACUUACCGCCGUUUACACGACAUGUACUCGGCAACCUUCAAGCGGAAGCCCAAUGAGGGUGUCGGCCACGGCCUACCGAAACACUCAAGUCUCUAGUCCAGGUUUAUCACCUAUUCAGGUUCCAUCCACAGGGAGUCCGGCCGAGGCUUCCACAUAUGGCCUCGAACGAUGUGUACAGGGUUCCGCAACACUAAACGGGCGCCCGUCAUACCCGGCCAUGUGCCUACCGCAUCACAACCCACCCCUCGGGUCAGCGCUGCCCACGGCCUCCAGCAUACUACAAACACUAGAAACUACUUGCAACUCCUGGACAGAGGACAAGGGUGAUUAAGAAGCCGAGAGGUUCCAUUGGUUUCGGGCCCAAUGCAUGGUAGUAACUGUUUCAUGGAUCAUAAACACAAAACUCAGUUCUUGAGGAUGGCUUUAAUGAGACAACCCACCAUGUACUCCUACAUGGCCUCUCACCUCUACCUUUACCAAAUCGUUUUCACACACUUAACUCACACACAGUAGGACAUGUUCAUCACUGUUCCAAUUCAUCCCCGAUGAAUCAGACCUGACUCAACUCUAAGCAGUAGCAGGCAUGACAAACAAGCAUGAAUGAGUAGGCACAUCAGGGCUCAAACAACUCCUACUCACGCUAGUGGGUUUCAUCUAUUUACUGUGGCAAUGACAGCUCAUGCAAAGGAAAGGGGUUCAACUGCCGCAGCAAGUAACAGAUGAAUCGUUGUCGUCCUAAUGCAGUAAAAGAGAGUAGGAGCAAGAGAGUGGGAUUGUAUCGGAAUGAAUAAGGGUUUUUUUCUUGCCUGGCACUUCUGAAGAUAGUAUAGCUCUUGAUCGGUGUCAUCGAACUCAUCGUCGGAACCACGUCUAUUGAGAGGGGACAAACACCGGCAAACAAGGAAGAACACAAUCAAUGCUAUGCACAAUAUUAUGCAUGAUCAUGGCAUGUCAAUAUGGUCUGGUUUGAGCUAAUGCAACUAGCAGGAAGUUAAAUGGAGUUGGUUUGAAUCUAAGAUUCAAAUUCAAACUCCAUUAAUGACAUUUCAAAUGCCAUUAAUUCAAAUUGUUGUAUACAGCAGCUUUAAGUUGUUCAAACAUGCAUGAUAAUGCAAUAAACAGAUUCUUUGGAUUUUUUUGAUCAUUUUUCAUAUAUAACUUGUUUUAUUUGGAGCUACGGUUGAAUUUAUAUGAUUUUUAGAAGUUUAAGCCUUUUUCUGGAUUUUUCUAAUUAAAUAGAAUUAAACUAAUUCCAGAAAAGGAUUUACUGCGUCAGCCUGACGUUAGGGUGACAUCAAUGAGUCAAUGAGUCAGCCCAGGUCAAACUAACCAGUGGGGCCCGUGUGUCAGUGGCUAACUAAACUAACCUAAUUUAAUUAGCACUAACCUAGGUUAAACUAAUUAAGUUUAAACCUAAACUAGGUUAAUUAGCCGGGCAGGGCCCGCAUGUCAUUGACCUAGGAGAGGUCAAACCCCUGGUCAACCAGGCCUAAAACUCCAGUGGCUCUCGCCGGAGACAGCAGGUGUGGCGGGGCCUCGGGUUUCGCCCUCCGGCGACCAAAAGGAGGGUGGAGGGGCUCUGCGUGCUGCUGGGAGUGCUCCGCAUCUCCCUGUGCAAGCGGGAGGGGCUCCGGCGGCCGGAGUUGAGCAUGGCGUCGACCUCAGCGGCGGCCAGAGUUCAGGUGCACUCAGAAAUGAGGCUGCGGUGGCCGUGGGGUGGCGUGCUUGGCUCCUACGGCACCUGCGCGGCGCGGUGAGCACAUGGGUGUGCUCGGUUGGGAGUUGCGGUGGCUGUGGGCACGACGGCGGCGCAGUUCAGUCUCAGGCAAGACGGUGACCACGGCGUGCAAACGAGACAGGGAAGAGGAGGGUUCAGGGGAGGAGGUCACGGCGGAGAUGAAGAGCAGGACAGCCAGCUCGAGGGAGGCCGGAGCUAAGCAGGGUGGUGAAGCGGAUCUCCGGCUACCCGAGGUUGAAGAAGACGGUAUGGACGACAUUCGAGGGUGUCCAGCGCUGCACGGGCCGGUGAUGACAAAGAGGGGAACGAGACGGAGCUCUUGGGCAGCUCGGGGCGUCGUAGGGAUGGCGAUGGUCACGGCAACAGCGAGCGGCGGCGAUGGUCGCGCUCGGGUGGCUGUGCGCGAGAGAAACACAGGAGGGGAUAGAGAGCAGCAAGUGAGGAGGAGGGGAGAGAGGUCUCAGGGUGUCUCCGUGGCGUGAGGGGGGAAAGGGAGAGCUCGCCAGCGCGAAGCAGGAGGUGGCGCACGGGCGCGCGUGCGCUGUCUCCCUCUGCCUACUGGCAGAGGUAGGUGAUGACUGGCAUGGACCAGGUGGGCCGCCCCAGCCAGGUAAGUGGCAUGUGGCCUUUCUCUCUCUCUCUCUCUUAUUAACUGUUUUCUAUUUUUCUGCAACUGUUUUGGCUUUAUUAAAAAUGCCAGAGCAUUUUCAAAAAUCCUGAAAAUAUUUGUGGGCACUAUUGAAAUUAUUCUCAACAGCCCUCAACUAGUUUCAGAAUUAUGAGAGCAUUUAAAUUUUUUAUAGGAUUUAAAUGCCCCAAUUCAAAUACAAUAUGAGUUAAUUCAAAAAUCCAGAAAUGACCUAGAAAUAUGUUUAUCAUUUUUGGCAGAGGUUUUUACCUUUAUCAGAAAUGAUGAACAUUUCCAAAGGGAAUUUUGGGAUCAUUGAAAAUAUUUCAUUGUGACCCUAGUUGGAUUUCAUUUGGUGCUAGGGUUUGAACAUCCCCAUUUCAAGUUUUGGCAAAAUCUAAACAUGAUGCACACAUGAAGCUACCCUAGUGCAUUGCCAGGAGCUAGGGAUGUGACAUAAUUGUUCUGGUUCAUUUGUUCUGAUGUCCAGUUAACUGUUUGGUUCAAUUCUGCAAUUUGAUUUUCAAUUGUUGUGGGUACAAUUUUGUAUUGUUAUGCAUGUGAGAAAUAAAUCAAAUUUGGUUGUACUCGAUACACGAUAAACAUAUAUAAUUGCUCUAUUUCCAAGUUAUUUAGUAUCCUUGGUUAGGUUAACUGGCUUUUCCAUGCGUCUCGAGCUAAUCUAUUGGAUCAACAAUUUUCUAUUUUUCAUUAACGUAUUCUACUAAUAGUAUGGCAAAUCCCAGUUUACAUGAUCAAGAUCUUCCUUGUAUAUGUUGCAGGGAAACAAUGGGAGGCACUGCGGUUUACCAUCGAGGUUUGCUCAUGCAUGAUCCUUUCUCUAAUAGCGCAUUAUUGUGCAGUUGCAGGAAUCAUUCUAAUAUUUAGGUUUCUUACAAUUUGGCCUUGCACAUGUAGGUCCUUCUAUCAGAGGCUUAGACCCACUGUUCAACCAAUUUUGCAAAUGGGGAAAUGAGAUGUCCAUGAAUAUCAGUCAAGUCAAGAAACUCAGAAAGAUUGUUAGGAUAAAGAAACUUGCGAUGAAUAACACUAAGAUCUUUUUUUGCACAAGGAAGAAGACAUCAGUCAACUAUAGGAUGGUACUAACUCUUUUACCUUGUUUUUCCCCUUGCGCCAUUUCAAAAUUUAUAACAAUGAUUAAUGAAUAUCUUUGCUUUCAGUACUUUCCAAAAUAGUUCACUGAUGACUGCCUCUCAAACCACCUGCAUGAUCAAGAGGCAAGGAAGGUAUUCAUUCAACACCCACGGUACAAUAUUGAAGUCUUCCUCAAGAGGACGAAGAUUGGGCGGGAAAUUAUCCAUAGCCACUGGCCUAAAGUUGCAAGGACAUUCAACAUCACUGAAGGCUCAAUAUUUGACUUCCGCUUCUGAAGUUUCCUAGAUGAGAUUCAUUUGUCUAUUUACCGUGUAUGAUGCUACUUUCCAAAUGUUUUCGAUCUUGCAUGUGAAACUUGGUGCUGCUGUGUAAUGGCGUAGCUAGCUAUAUCCCUAUAUGGUGUAAUUGAGUGCUGAAGCUAUCUGAUGUAAUUCGAUUAUGAAAUCCUGGUCGCCAUUAUACGUAUAUGAAAUAUAUGGUGUGUUUUAUAAGAAAUGUCACUUUGAUUACUACAUGGAUUAUCAAUAAUAGGCCAAUUAGCCUGCUUAUUAGGGUUUUAUAUUGCAUAUGGUUUCUUAGACAACACCGUGGGAGAUGAACUCAAACAACCCACAAGGUUUCUAGAAAGUAGGCGUGUUGGAUCAAUGAAGAAUCACACACGACUUUGGCCAGUGAACUGUUUGCGUUAGGCCACCUUGCACAAACAUUUCCACAUAAAAAAUAAUUUGUGAUAUACAUACAAACGGAAAAGUUUUUCUGGAUUCACUAUGUGGGAUGUACAUACGAACAGAAACAAUUGGUCUUCGAUGCCUCCCCCAAUCACGCACCAGCUCAUUUUGCGCAGCAUGUGUGACUGGAGGGCCUAUCCCCGAUAGUUUCUGGGCGUGUGGGAAGGACCCCCCUAUUGCACACACUAACGAGGCGACGGUUUAAAACUCCAUUGAGGAAAGGGGGUAAAAUCCGUUUGUAUAGGACGUCCCUGCACUAGUGCUUGCUACACCAUGAGAAUGAUAUUCACUCACAUGGAAGAAAUGAAAUAGAUAAAAUAUUCUUUGAACAUCAACCUCUCCUUAAACACAUUUUGCCUAUUGAAACUCUAGGAGGUCCUCCUCCACCUAAGGUUGAUCCCGUGUUUGAAUUAAAACAAUUGCCAGACACUUUGAAAUAUGCUUAUCUUGAUGAGAAAAAGAUAUAUCCUUAUAUAAUUAGUGCUAAUAUUUCAGAACAUGAAGAAGAGAGAUUAUUAAAAAUUCCGAAGAAGCAACAUGCUGCUAUUGGAUAUACUCUUGAUGAUCUUAAGGGCAUUAGUCCCACUCUCUGUCAGCACAAGAUUAAUAUGGAACCUGAUGCUAAACCCGUUGUUCAUCACCAACGAUGACUGAAUCCUAAGAUGAAAGAAGUGGUAAGAACUGAAAUACUAAAACUUCUCAAAGCAGGUAUAAUAUAUCCCAUAGCUGAUAGUAGAUGGGUGAGUCAUGUUCAUUGUGUUCCUAAAAAGGGAGGUAUUACUAUUAUUCCUAAUGAUAAAAAUGAACUUGUCCAACAAAGAAUUGUUACUGGCUAUAAAAUGGUAAUUGAUUUUUAGAAAAUUGAAUAAAGCUACUAGGAAAGAUCAUUACUCUAUGACCUUCAUUGAUCAAAUGCUAGAAAUAUUAUCUAAGCACACACACUUUUGUUUUCUAGAUGGAUAUUCUAGUUUUUCUCAAAUACCUGAUUCACAACCUGAUCAAGAGAAAACAACUUAUACUUGUCCUUUUGGAACUUAUGCUUAUAGAUGUAUGCCUUUUGGUUUAUGCAAUGCACCUGCUACCUUUCAAAGAUGUAUGACUGCUAUAUUCUCUGAUUUUUGUGAAAAGAUUGUUGAGGUUUUCAUGGAUGAUUUUUCCGUUUGUGGAGCUUCUUUUGAUGAUUGCUAAAGAAACCUUGAUCGAGUUUUCCAGAGAUGUGAGAAAACUAAUCUUGUCUUGAGUUGGGAGAAGUGUCACUUUAUGGUUAAUGAAGGUAUUGUCUUGGGGCAUAAAAUUUCUGACUGAAGUAUUGAGGUGGAUAAAGCUAAAGUUGAUGCAAUUGAGAAAAUGCCAUGUCCUAAAGAUAUUAUAGGUAUUCAUAGUUUCCUUGGUCAUGCUGGUUUCUAUAGGAGUUUAUUAAAGACUUCACUAAAAUUUCUAGGCUACUUACUAAUCUUUUACAAAAGGAUGUUCCAUUUGUUUUUUAUGAUGAUUGUGUAUAAGCCUUUGAAACACUUAAGAAAGCCAUAACUUCACCUAUCAUUCAACCACCUAAUUGGGAUUUGCCUUUUGAAAUUAUGUGUGAUGCUAGUGCUUAUGCUGUUGGUGCUAUUCUAGGACAAAGAGUUGAUAAGAAAUUAAAUGUUAUCCAUUAUGCUAGCAAAACUCUAGACAGUGCACAAACAAAUUAUGCUACUACUGAAAAAGAUUUCUAGCAGUUGUGUUUGCUUGUGGUAAAUUCAGAUUUUACAUUGUUGAUUCCAAAGUAAUUAUUCACACUGAUAAUGUUGCUAUAAAAUAUCUUAUGAAAAAGAAAGAUGAUAAUCCUAGACUUAUUAGGUGGGUUCUCUUGCUACAAGAAUUUGACUUACAUAUCACUGAUAUAAAAGGAGUUGAGCACCCCAUAGCUGAUAACUUGUCUAGGAUAGAAGAUAUUCUUGAUGACGCACUACCUAUCGGCGGUAGUUUCCCUGAUGAACAACUAGCUGUAAUAAAUGCUUCUCAUAACACUCCUUGGUAUGCCGACUAUGCUAAUUAUAUUGUUGCUAAAUUUAUACCACCUAGUUUCACAUACCAACCAAUUUUGAGGAUAUCGCUUAUCGUUAGCGUCUCGUUCAGCUGGGGAUUAGAGAUUAAUCGGAAAUCGGCCGAUUAAUCGAUUUUAUCGGUCGGCUAUUAAUCGACCAUUUUUUGCAAAUCUCAGGUUCCAACACUAAAAUAUGCUAUAUUGAACAUCAAAACAAUAUUGGAUAGAAGUGUUACCUUGAUUCCUAGCCUUUGAAUCCUCAUAUAAUGACAAAAAAUAGGACAACAGUACAUAUAGCGUAACAAGGUCCACAAAAUGCAAAUAAACAUAGUUUUUGCAAACAUAGUGCUAUGAAUAGGCCGAUUUAUCGGUAGAUUCCCGAUAAAUCGCUUCACAUAGCGAUAAAUCAGCCCAAAUGAUAAACGGUGAAGAUAAGGCAUAAUCUUAUCAGUCACCCCAAGAGUACUGAUAAAUCGGACGAUAAAUCGCUGAAUCGGAAGAUUUCUUGAACAGUGAUACCAACAAAAGAAAAAUAGUACUUCUAUGACUUAAGAAAUUAGUUUGGGUUGACCCACAUCUUUGUAAAGAAGGAGUAGAUGGUAUUAUUACACGUUGUGUACCUGAGCAUGAAAAGGAACAAAUCCUACGGAAGUGUCACUCCGAAUCCUAUGGAGGGCAUCAUGCGGGAGAAAGAACUGCGCACAAGGUAUUACAAUCUGGUUUUUAUUGGCUACUCUUUUUGAGGAUGCCCGUAAGUUUGUCUUAUCAUGUGACGAAUGUCAAAGAAUAGGUAAUAUCGGUAAGCAUUAGGAAAUGCCUAUGAAUUAUUCACUUGUUGAACCAUUUGAUGUUUGGGGUUUUGAUUAUAUGGGACCUUUUCCUCCCUCAUGGGUAUACACAUAUUUUGGUUGCUGUUGAUUAUGUUACCAAGUGGGUAGAAGCUAUUCCAACUACUAGUGUUGAUCAUAACACAUCCAUUAAAAUGCUUAAAGAAGUUAAUUUUCCCAAGGAUUGGAGUCCCUAGAUAUUUAAUGACUGAUGGUGGUUCACACUUUAUUCAUGGUGCUUUCCGUAAAAUGCUUGCUAAAUAUGAUGUUAACCAUAGAAUUGCAUCACCCUAUCAUCCUCAAUCUAGUGGCCAAGUUGAACUUAGUAAUAAGAAAUAAAAUUAAUGCUACAAAGAACUAUCAAUAGGUCUUGAAAGAAUUGGUCUAAUAAAUUGGAUGAUGCACCUUGGGCUUAUAGAACAGCUUAUAAAAAUCCUAUGGGCAUGUCUCCUUACAAAAUGGUUUAUGGAAAAGCUUGUCAUUUGCCUCUAGAGUUAGAACAUGAAAAUGCCAAACUAUUCAAAGAAAAAUUUAAAAGAUGGCAUGGCAAAAGAAUCCAAAAGCAAGAAUUGAAGGUUGGUGAACAUGUUAUAUUGUACAACUCUCAUUUUAGAUUUUCUGUAGGAAAACUUCUUUCCAAAUGGGAACGACCUUAUAUUAUCGAGGAAGUUUAUCACUCUGGAGCUAUCAAGAUCAAUAAUGCGCAAGGUACUAACCCGAAGGUGGUAAAUGGACAAAGAAUUAAGCAAUCUAUCUCAGGUACGCCUAUUAAUGUUGAAACCAAUAUUAUUCAAACCAAGACACUGGAGGAACACAUAAAAGAAACCUUCCAGAACACUCCAGAACCCUGAAAAGGAAGAGGUACGUGAUACGGUAAGUAAAUGGACUCCAAAAAUCCACAAAAAUAUUUUUUGUCAGUUUUGGAAUAUUAUAAAAUCAGGAAACUAAGAAACAACCGAGAAGGCCACCCUGGUGCCCACAAGAUAGCAGGGCGCUCCUGCUCCCUCACCCCAGGCACACCCUAGUGGGUGGUGGGCCCCUCGGGCACCUUCCUGACUCUGUUUUUCUUCCAUAUGCUUUUUGCCAAGAUAAAAAAUUUGUAUAUAUACCCUAAGGAAGAUUUGACCACUGUAUCACGGAGAAACCCUUUGUUCUUGUUUUGGGAUGUUUUUCUGACACAUCUAAAAAUAUGUCGUCUCAAGAUUCGCAUGGAGAGAGCUAUGUCGCAGACUAUAUCGCAAACCCAAAGGUUUAUGGGGAUGUGGAGUGUUACGAUUGGACCAUGUAGAAAGAAGAAGAUUAUGACUUGAAGGGAAUGGAAGAGACAAGCUCAGAUGAAGAAAAAGUCCCACUACCUCAACCUGGGGACAUGCAUGUGGAAUUCAAGAAGUCAAGUCACCCUAAUAAAGAAAAGAAACCUAAGAUCCAGUUUGUCCCUUUUCAUCUUUUGCAGGAAAACAAGCAGGCAUUAUGUGAAAAGAUAUUAAAGCUCAAGCAGGAUAUCGAUGGCUUAAGGGAGGAAAAUUUCAUCCUCAAGCGUAAGCUGAGGAAGAAGAACGCUACUACCUCAUCACCAUCACCACCACACCAUCAUCUUCCCCACAAAAGAAGGAGACUUGAGUACAUGAGUAUGGGCAAUCCUGGCGCGGGAAUCCACGGCCACCUAUGGGACCAGGAGGCCCCUUGCUGGUUCGGCAGGGGGGGAGUCGCAUUGCACAAAGAGCAGACGAGCGUGAGGCAGCACGACAAAGAUCACACGGGCAGUUUUACCCAGGUUCGGGCCGCCGCGAGGCGUAAAACCCUACUCCUGCUUUUGGUGGAUUGAUGGUGGAAAUGUGAUAGUGGAGCGUAGUACACUUGCCCGAGAAGGGUUGCCUCAGGGCGGCAGCGACUACGCGCGUAUGGAGGUGUGAGUUAUCCAACCUUCUAACCUCGUUUAAGGUUUCCAUGGGCUUCCUUUUAUAGGUUAAGGGGUCAUCACAAUGGCAAAGUAGUCAUUAUGCAUUGAUAUGAUAACAAACAGUGCUAUCAUACCUAACUUUGUGGGAUGACAGUGUGCAUUUAAUGCGCCGCUCAACGUCACAUCGUUGGUUGCCCGGCAAGGCUUGCCGGGCUAUCUUGCGAGCUCAACGCCUGCUUGUUUGACAUGUCGCAGGAUGGCUGUCAUCUGUGGGUUUUUCCUGUAGGGAGAGGCUGCCAUGUGGCGAAUGGCUGCCACUAAUCACCCACCGGCUUGACACUGCACUGAUCGAUGACGUGAGUCGCGGUGGAAUGGCUGGUGAGGUGAUUUAGCCUCCGCAAGUCCCGGCAGGCCCAAGCGGGAUGCCUUGGUUCUCUUCUUCUAGGGGUGGCCUCGUCCCUUGCGAGGCUCGCCUGCCCGGCAAAGGAGGCCUUUCUCUUGAUGAUAUCUUGCUUCUCUGGCUUGGUCUAGGUCCCUCUGAUCUGCUUGUUUGUCCUUCGAAUCUCUUGGUUUCUUGUAGUCUGUCUUGGGUUGGUGCUUCAAUCUUGAUCCCGUGCCUGUGCACAGUUAGGGCAACAGACCCAGGGUUGUUGCACCGACAGAAGCCCCCGGGCCUGCCCCGAGCCUGCUAUUGUGCGUCAUCGGGGUAGGGCCUAAUGAGUGCACAAGCAGAGUUGCAGAAGAGGCUGGUCUCUUGAGAUCUUCUUUGCUUCUUCAUUAGUCUUGAUCUCGGGCCAGUUUCCUGUUUUCCCAUGCGUCGUGUGCAACGUUAUGGGAAAAGCUCGGAUCGUGGCCUGCAUGGCACUCUCAUCCCAUGAUCAUGGGGUGGAAACGGCCAUCCCACUUGCUUUCGUGCUUCGGCAUCGUCUGCCACGUGUCCUCCAUGCCUUAGGAAGGGUAGGUGGUGGAUGCGGAGGGCACGGGCAUUAGUGCCAUGGCAGGAAAUUAGGCGUCGCUAGUUGGAGCAGCGGGUCGGCCCUAAUUCCCUGCGUCUUUGGAUGGGAGGGGAGGCCGUAUUGGAUGAGUGGGGUGGCCGUCCUUGGGAUGAGAGGCCAGCCCCGGCCCCUCUUUUCUAUAAAAGGGGGGCAAGAAUGGUGGCUUUCCAUACGCACCUUUUUCUCCUUCUUUCUUCAUAGUCUUCCUUCGCUCGCCAUGGAUGAGGGGGCGAGGGCGCGCUGGUACUCUAGUGGCGGCAAUGAGGGAUUCUGCUCGACAGCGCGCUCCCCUUCCUCUUGACCCCGCCAGGAAAUGGAGCUUGAUCCGCCGCACACUCUGAGUUUGCAUAUGAGGGGCUGUGGGAACGGCGGCAUGUGGGUUGACGUCGACUUCCCUGCUCCUCAUGUUGUGUACCUCCGCUGUGGUUGGAAAACCUUUGCCCGUGCCCAUAGCUUGUCGGAGGGGCACGUUCUCCAGUUCAAAUUAAUGGAGAGCGGCCUGCUUUCCGUCAAGAUCUUCGGGCACUCGGGAAUUCGCUUAGGGUGCUGCGCGGAGAGCUCCACCGACAACAAAAGCUCCUCCUUGAGCAACAACAACGAGGAGGAUCGUGACGGUGAUGACAACACCGAUGAUGACAACUCUGACUCCAGCUGACCCUCCCCGCACCACCUCCAUCACAUGGCAGCAACAUCAUCUACCCCUGCGUUUUCUCCUGGCAAGGUGGUUGCCGGGAAGUUGGAUGCAGAGGUGGUGAUGGUGCCCCUAGCUCCUUCCAGCUGGACCCCGGCAGGCUUCCUCUCGGGCUGCAGCUCCAUUAAUCCCGCCUUGUCCUGCUGGCCCUGGUGGUGGUGGUUGGUGGGUUGCCUUCGCCAUAUUCUUCAUAUUUGCCUUCGUCGGCAUCUCCUUGUCCCGCCGGGCUACCUCUACUGGGCCCUGAUAUGGUUGGCCUGGGCUCCCGCCCAGGCGCUCCUUUUGCCCUUUUUGCCUUCACUAUCGUGCCUGGGAGGAGAGGGACAAGAAAGGAGAUUACGGGGCACUUAUCUUUUUUUAAUCUUAAACUUGUAGGCACUUGCCAAAUUUUAAUCCAAAUAAUGUAAUCUCUCAAGUCCUUGUUUGUGUUCUGUAAUGCUAGUACUUGUAUCAGCAUGUUAGUGAAAAAGAUAAACCUUGCCGGGAGCCCGUGCAUGUAUAUGUCCAUGUAGAGGAGAGAUGCCCCUUUAAUGUAAAUAAAUGAGUUUUUCCCGGCAGGCUAUCUUGCCUAUACCCUUUUUGUCUGCUGGAGAGCCACAUCUGUCGGGUUACAGACAAAGGGACCAGCCCCCCACCAACUUCGUUUUACCAAAGGCCACUAUGACCAUUCUGACUGAAGCAACGUUCAGGUCAGGGAUGGGAGCACCUAAGUUUAAAAAGAGCGGCAAGGUUUUCUAAUGCAUAAGUUAUAGCUUACAGAACACGAAUGGGCAAGAGGUAGAACGUAUCUGUUUGGCUUGCCGGGGAUCAUAGUGCCGACCAAUCUGCUCAACUCCUUGUCGAAGCCAAGUUCACGGCGAGAACCUGCAGCUUCAUGCAGAUCAGAAUGAAUGCAGGAUGCGAUCCUAUCUAUAUGCAUAUGCAAAUUCUCUUGAAAUGCUUAUGCAAUGAUCUUGGAAUGCUUGUGCAUGCAUGCAGUCUUGGUCGGGGCCCCCCACAGCGCUUCUUUAUCUUCGGUGAUCGCCCCGGCUUUGUACAAGGGGUUACAUGCAGCUGAGACAAGGCUUGUACAAAAGGGUGGCUGCCGGGGAGGGCCCGACAGCCGCGCCUUACGGGUAGAACUGGCGGAGAUGCUCAAUAUUCCAUGAGUUUUGCAACUGAGUGCCAUCUCCGGUCUCUAGACAGACUGCAUCAGGUCUGGUGACUCGUACUACCCAGUAAGGGCCUUCCCACUUUGGUGACAACUUGUUUGUACCCUUGGCAGACUGAACGCGCCUAAGGACAAGGUCACCUUCCUCAAAACACCGGGCAUGAACCCUGCGGCUAUGAUAGCGAUGCAGUGCUUGCUAAUAGCAUGCAGCACACGUAGCAGCCCGGAGACGGUUCUCCUCGAGUAUCACAGCGUCGACACGCUGGUGCUGAUCUUGCACUACUUCAUCAUAGGCAAGCACUCGAGGCGACUCGUAAAUGAUUUCCGUGGGGUUAACUGCUUCUGCCCCGUAGACCAAGGAGAAGGGAGUCUGCCCGGUAGCUUGGUUAGGUGUCGUUCUGAGGGACCAGAGAACUACCUGCAGCUCCUCGAUCCAUCGCCUGUCGUGCUUCUGCAAUGUAUCAUAGUUUCUUGUCUUGAGUCCAUGUGGCACUUCAGUGUUCGCCCUCUCAGCUUGUCCAUUGCUUUGCCACAUAGGUGAAUGAGAUCUUGCAUCCAAGGGCAUGGACAUAUUGCAUGAAGGUGCAGCUCGUGAACUGGGUGCCAUUGUCGGUGAUGAUCCUUGCGGGAACUCCAAAAUGACACACCAGAUCUUUCAAGAACUUGAUAGCUGACUAAGUAGUCACCUUUCUCACGACAGUCACUUCCGGCCACUUUGUAAACUUGUCAAUAGCAACGAACAAGAAUUCAAAGCCCCUGAUUGCUAAGAGGAAGGGGCCAAGGAUAUCAAGCCCCUAGACUGAAAAUGGCCAUGAUAAAGGGAUUGUCUGAAGAGCUUGGGCAGGCAGGUUGGUUUUCUUGGAAUGGAACUGGCAGGCUUCACACUUGGUAACUAGCUCAACCGCAUUUUUGAGGGUUUUGGGCCAAUAGAAUCCUUGCCGGAAUGCUUUCCCAACUAAUGCCCUUGAUCGAAUGUGGGAGCCGCUCAUGCCUUUGUGUAUCUCAGCCACGGGUUCCUUUCCUUCUUCCAGGCAGACGCACUUCAAUUUCACACCGUUCGGCCUCCUUCUGUACAGAGUGUCAUCAACCAACUGAUACAUACUGGCCCUCUGGGCUACUUUUUCAUCUUCGCCUUGGUCGCCGGGAAGCUCUCCGGUUUGGAGGAAGCAGACAAUGUGCCUUGCCCAAUUUGGAGCCUGGGGGGCUCGGCAACUAGGACUAAUGGCACCUCCUCUGCUGUAGGAGCACAUGCCUCGUGCGCGGCAUCCAUGGGCCCGACUGUAGGGGGUGGUCCGGUAGGCUGCGAGGAGUUGCUUCCGGAAGGGUCUCUGCCAGGAGCGGACGAUUCUACCGGGAGAGGCUUACCGGUGUCCAACUUUCUCCUUUUCCAGGCCAUUGUUGCUAGGGAUACGGAGGGCUGAGUGAGAUGGAGAACAAAAGUUCCUGGUUCCAUAGGAAGCUUCUGCGCAGUGCACUUUGACAGAUGAUCAGUUAUACUAUUUCCACACGGGGUAUGUGCUUUGUUUGCAAUCCGUCAAAGUGCUCCUCUAAUAUCCUCACUUCCUUCACGUAUGCCUCCAUCAAUGGACUUUGGUAAUCCUUGUUGACUUGUCUCACCACCAGCUAUGAAUCUCCUCGAAUGACCACCUUCUUAAUUCCCAAUUCAGCUGCAAUCCUGAGCCCGGCAAGGAGCCCUUCAUACUCUGUUGUAUGGUUGGUUGCUUCUUCCCGGGAAAAAUGCAUUUGGACGACGUACUUCAAGUGCUCCCUGGAGGGGGCGACAAGAAGCACACCAGCCCCUGCACCUUGUAGGAAAAAAGCACCAUCAAAAUACAUAAUCCAUUCUUGGGGCGAUUCCUUGUCGGGGAUAACUGUCUCUCUCAGUUCCUCAUCAGGGGUUGGCGUCCAUUCUGCAAUAAACUCUGCCAACGCCCUGCUCCGGAUAGUUGAUGUGCUUUCAAACUUCAAACGAAAGCUGGAUAGCUCCAAAUCCCACUCCACUAUUCUGCUGGUAGCGUCAGGGUUUCGGAGUAUCCUUUGCAAUAGGAAGCGUGUCACAACCGUAAUCUCAUGGGCUUGGAAGUAGUGGUGCAGUUUCCUUGAGGCCAUGAUGAGGCCAAAGAUCAAUGUUUGCAUGCCAGAAUACCUCGAUUGAGCCCCCUGUAACAGGGAGCUGACAAUGUACACUGGGUGUUGCACCACUUUAUUCCUUGCCGUGUCCUUGGGGUUGUCAACGUUGUCGUGCUCACUUUUGCCUUGAUCUCCACUUAACUCUGCCGGGCCCUGCCCUUCCUCUGUCGUGUCCACUUCCCAUUGUGCCACCAAGGCCACACUAACCACUUGGUUGGUUGCUGCUAAGUACUGCAACAACGGCUCCUGUGGUUUGAGGCGACCAGGGUAGGUACAUAAGAUAAAUAUGCCUUCAACUCUUGCAGGGCUGCAUCUGCUCCCGGGGUCCACUUCAUGGGCCCUGCCUUCUUCAAGAUUUUGAAGAAUGGCAGGGUGCACUCGGGAGAGCUAGAAAUGAAUCUGCUUAGCGCGGCAACACAUCCUGUUAGGCGCCUCACAUCUUUAACUGUCCUUGGCGCUUGGAUCUACUGAAUGGCCUUGAUCUUGUCGGGAUUAGCUUCGAUCCCUCCUGUGGGACACAAAGAACGCAAGCAGCUUGCCAGAGGGAACGCCAAAUACACACUUCUCUGGAUUAAGCUUUAAUUUGAUCUUGCGUAGAUUUGCAAAUGUCUCCUCCAAAUCCUGGAUAAGAGUUGCUCUGUCCUUGGUUUUUACCACAAUCUCAUCCAUAUAAGCUUCAACGUUUUUGUGUGGUUGAGGUUCAAAACCAAUCUGGACUGCCCUCGCAAAAGUAGACCCGACACUCUUUAAUCCAAAUGGCAUGCGGACAAAGCAGUACUUACCACAUGGAGUGAUGAACGACGUCUUCUCCUCGUAUUAUUUGGACAUGAAGAUUUGGUGAUAUCCAUAAUAUGCAUCUAGAAAUGAGAGCAAAUCAUAGCCUGAAGUGGAAUCCACAAUCUGAUCAAUAUGCGGCAAGGGAAAUGGGCAAGCUUUGUUGAGAUCUGUGAAAUCUAUGCAAAUCCCCCACUUCUCAUUAGCCUUCCGGAUACAACCGGGUUUGCUAGCCAAGUGGGAUGUAGCUCUCCUCUGACCAAAGCAACUGCUUCAAGUUUCUUGACCUUUUCUGCAGUCAACUGCUACCUCUCCAAGGCCUGUUUCCGGACUUUCUGUGUGACAGGUCGAGCAUGUGGGCAGACAUCAAGGUGGUGCUCGAUUAGCUCCCUGGGAACACCAGGGGUAUCAGAUGGUUGCCAGGAAAACACAUCGAUAUUCGCCUGCAGGAAGGUAACAAGUGCGCUUUCCUAUUUGUCAUCGAGGCUGGUGUUGAUAGUGUACCAUCAAUGCUAGCCAGCUCUACCGAGACCUUCUUCACUUGGGGUGCAUCGAACUUUGAUCUCUUGUUGUUGGAACACUCCGGCACGUCAUGAACAGGUGCCAUGCACUCGGUGGGGGCACGCUUGCCGAAUUAUUUGCGGGAGGUCCUACAAUCCCUCUUCUUUCCAUUACAUUCCUUGGCGGGAAAUGUUGUUGCCGCUGCCUCUGCUGUGACCGUGUCCUGGUACAUCUUGUCCAGACAAAUGAUUGCAUCCUUCUCAUCUUAUGGGAUGGUGAUAACUCCUAGUGGCCCAGACAUCUUCAGGGUGUUGUAGGCAUAGUGGGAUGCUGCCAUGAAUUUAGCCAGAGCCGGGCGUUUGAUACGUCUCCAACGUAUCUAUAAUUUGUAAUUAUUCCAUGCUGUUUUAUUAUCAAUCUUGGAUUUUUUAUAAUCAUUAUAUAGUCAUUUUAUAUCAUUUUUGGGUACUAACCUAUUCACAUAGUGCCAAGUGCCAGUUGCUGUUUUCUGCAUGUUUUUUACAUCGCAGAAAAUCAAUAUCAGAUGAGGUCCAAAUGCCACGCCAAUUUACGAUGAUUUUUUAUGGGCCAGAAGGAACACAAUGGGCCCUGGUUGCACCUGGGAGGAGUCCCGAGGAGGGGACAACCCACCUGGGCGUGCCAGGAGGCCCAGGCGCGCCUAGGUGGGUUGUGCCCACCCCGGGUGCCCCCUGGACCGACUCUUUGCUCUAUAAAUACCCCAAUAUUCCAGAAACCCUAGGGGAGUCGACGAAAUUUUCAUCCAGCCGUCGCAGAGUCCAUAACCACGAGGUCCAAUCUAGAUACCAUCACGGAGGGGUUCACCACUUCCAUUGGUGCCUCUCCGAUGAUGCGUGAGUAGUUCUUUGUAGACCUUCGGGUCCGUAGCUAGCUAGUAGCUAGAUGGCUUCUCUCUCUCUCUCUCUCUCUCUCUCUCUCUCUCUUGAUUAUCAAUACAAUGAUCUCUUGGAGGUCCAUAUGAUGUAAGUCCUUUUUGCGGUGUGUUUGUUGGGAUCUGAUGAAUUCAAGUUUAUGAUCAGUUAUAUCUUUUUAUAUCCAUGAAAGUUAUUUGAGUUCUUUGAACUCUUAUAUGCGUGAUCUCUUAUAGCCUCGUAUUUCUUCUCCGAUAUUUGGGUUUUGUUUGGCCAACUUGAUCUAUUUAUCUUGCAAUUGGAAGAGGUGCCCGGUAGUGGGUUCGAUCUUACGGUGCUUGAUCCCAGUGACAGAAAGGGAACAGACAGUAUGUAUCAUUGCUACUAAGGAUAAAAAGACGAGAUCCAUAUCUGCCGCAAUAGAUAAACGGAUCUUGUCUACAUCAUGUCAUCGUUCUUAUUGUAUUACUCUGUUUUUCAAUGAACUUAAUACACUAGAUGCAUGCUGGAUAGCGGUCGAUGUGUGGAGUAAUAGUUGUAGAUACAGGCAGAAGUCGGUCUACUAAUCUUGGACAUGAUGCCUAUGUAAUGAUCAUUGCCUGGAUAUCGUCAUGAUUAUUUGAAGUUCUAUCCAUUUCCCAACAGUAAUUUGUUCACCCACUAUUUGCUAUUUUUCUCGAGAGAAGCCACUAGUGAAACCUACGGCCCACGGGUCUUCUUUCUCAUAUAUUUGCCUUGCGAUCUAAUUUUUCCUUGCCUUUAUUUUCAGAUCUAUUAAACCAAAAAAUACAAAAAUACCUUGCUGCAAUUUAUUUUUUCCACGAUCUAUUUAUCCUACCUACAAAUUUACCUCACAUCCUUUGCCUAUCUUGAGGCGCCGUACCGCGAAAGGGAUUGACAACCCCUUUAACACGUAGGGUUGCGAGGUGUUGUUCUUUGUGUGCAGGGGAUGUUUACGUUGUGUUGCUUGAUUCUCCUACUAGUUCGAUAACCUUGGUUUCAUAUCCGAGGGAAAUACCUACCACCGUUGUGCUGCAUCAUCCCUUCCUCUUUGGGGAAAUACCGACGUAGCUUCAAGCGACAUCAAAAGGAAUUUCUGGCGCCGUUUCCGGGGAGGAUCUUCAACAUAACCAGGUUCCUAAUCAAAAAUCUCAUUUCCCUGCAGUUUACAUUAUUUGCCAUUUGCCUCUCGUUUUCCUCUCCCCCACUUCACAAAAAUUUGCCGUUUUAUUCACCCUCUUUUUCGUUCGCCGUUUUCUCGUCAGAUCUCUUCUUUGCAUAUGUGCCAUGUGUCUUCUAUUUGCUUGCAUCUUUGGUUGCUAAAUAUCUCUUGAUAUGGAUCCUCAUCCACUUGCUAAUGUUUUUAAGAGAUCCAAUUAUCAUGAACAAAUUGCUAGUGAUUUGAGUACACUAGAUUAUGUUUAUGAAGUUUUGCUUGAGAUUCGUGAAUCUGAAAAUUGUGAUGAAGAAAUUUAUGAAGUGAUUCAUGUUAGCUCUUUGGAUGAAAAGCAUGAUUGCAAUGAUUUUACUAUAAACUCUAUUAAUGUCAACUAUGCUAAUAAUAUGCAAAACCCCAAGCUUAUUGCAAUGAUCAUGAUUGGGGUGAUUCUUCUUAUGAUCUUGAAAAUUUAUUUAAGCCCCGUGAUGAAUAUGCGAUUGAUAAUAGUGUUUGCAAUAAUAUCGAAAGUGGGUUUGGAAGAGUGUCAACUUUAGAUCCCACUACUUUGUAGAAUGUUCAAUAUUAUGUAACUUUUGAUAAAAGUGGGUUUGGAGAGGUCAUGACUUUAGUUAAUGUUAAUCCAACUAUUUUGGAAUAGUGUCAACUUUGCAUGCAUGUGGAUCGUGUUGGGAAUAUGUUAUGUGAGAGCUAUAUUGUUGAAUUUUCUUAUUAUCCUACAUAUAAUUUUUAUGAGAUAGUAAAAUAUGGUUUUAGAGAUUUUCAUAUUACUAAAUUACCUCUCUUCAUGUUGAGAUUGCUAAUGUUUCUUUCUUCUUCCUUGCACAUGCUAGUUUUUUCUUGCCUUGAUAAUUUGUUUGCUUAUAAAAUGCCUAUGCAUAGGAAGUAUGUUAGACUUACAUUUCCUUGUCACGUUUUUUAUGAUGCUCUCUUUGUGCUUCAAUUCUUCUCUUUUAUGUGAGCAUCAUUGAAAUCUCAAUGCCUAGCUAAAAAGGCUUUAAAGAAAAGUGCUUGUUGGGAGGCAACCCAAUGAAUAAAAUUUAUUUUUGCUUUUUGCUUUCUAUUCUAGAGUGUUAGCACAAUUAUGUUACUGUUAUGAUUGUGUUUUUUGUGUGUUUUAAUUAGUGUUUGUGCCAAGUAAAGCAUUUAGGAUCUUCUGGGUUGUUUGAUCUUGCUGAAAAAGACAGAAACUUUGUGCUCACGAAAAUGAUUAUCAUAAAUCACAGAAAAGAGAUUUUGCCCUGAUUAUUUUUGAAGAAGAUUAAUAUAAAAAUUAUUAUGGUUGUCCUAAUUUAUUAGAAUUUGUGGAUUUACGGAAGUAUUCAAAAGUUCCAGAUUACUACGGACUUUUAUGUUUUGACAGAUUCUGUUUUCUUUGUGUUGUGUGCUUAUUUUGAUGGCUCUAUUGUUUUCUUUGAUGAGGUUUUGCCAUACAAAAGUUGGAAUACAUUAUAUAUAAUACAAAAACAAAAUAAGGACUGGUUUGACACAGAACUUAUAGUAGUGUUUGCUUUCUUUUACUAACGGAUCUCACAAGAGUUUUGUUGAGUUUUGUGUGAUUGAAGUUUUCAAGUUUUGGGUUAUCUUACGAUGGAUGAAAGAAGAAUAGAAGAGCCUAAGCUUGGGGAUGCCCCGGCAUCCCAAGAUAUUAUCCAAGAAUGAGCAACCAACUAAGUUUGGGGAUGCCCCCGAGUGGCAUCCCGUCUUUCUUCUAACAACCAUCGGUAUUUUGCUCGAGACUAUAUUUUUAUUCGUCACAUGAUAUGUGUUUUGCUUGGAGCUUCUUGUAUGAUAUGUGUCUUUUCUUGUUUUAAUUUGUGUUUAAGUCAUCAAUACUUGCUGGACACACCUAUUUGAGAGAGCCAAAAUUAUGUCAUGACUUGUUAGAAUUAUUCUCUAUGCUUCACUUAAAUUUUUAUGAGCAAUGGACUUGCUCUAGUGCUUCACAUAUAUCUUUUUGAGCACGGUGUGCUUAGUAUUUUUGAAGAAAUGCUCCCUUGCUCCACUUAAAUUUAUUUGAGAGUUAGUAAAAUUUUGAAGAAAUUCUCUCUUGCUUCACUUCAAUUAUUUUAAGAGAAAGAAAAUAUGUUAUGCUCAUGAUCUUCACUUAUAUUUGUUUGAGAUUAUGAAAAGCAAUGCAUGAAAAUUAGUCCCAAAGUGAUAGAUAUCCAAGAAGGAUAAAGAAAGAAAAAAAUAUGUCAUGAAGAUCAUUGGACAAAAUAAACUUGAUUCUUAGUAAUAGUUUUGAGACAUGAUGAUGUGAUAUGUGAGUUAUGUUGGUGAAUAAUUGUGCUCAAGUAAGAAUAUUGGUGUUAAGGUUUGUGAUUCUCUAUGCAUGCACAAAAGUCCAUAAUCAUGCAAUCAAAAUGAUAUCCUACUUGUGGUGCAUUAUUCGGUGUUAUUUAUGCUUAAUGUUUGCUUAUGAGAUUAUUCGUUUCUUGGUUGGUCGCUUCUCAAUCUUUUUGCUAGCCUUCAUUUUGCACCAAGUAUGACCUCUACUUGUGCAUCCAAAAUACUUUAAACCAGUUUUGCCACAUGAGUCCACUAUAUCUACCUAUAUGCGG
RNAcentral lists this long non-coding RNA (52247 nucleotides) under Triticum aestivum (bread wheat). Its description in RNAcentral is "long non-coding RNA (TAES_LNC002907)". The record is from RNAcentral. Lineage: Eukaryota; Viridiplantae; Streptophyta; Magnoliopsida; Poales; Poaceae.